RNAcentral lists this long non-coding RNA (83578 nucleotides) under Panax ginseng (ginseng). RNAcentral describes it as "long non-coding RNA (PGIN_LNC000844)". Lineage: Eukaryota; Viridiplantae; Streptophyta; Magnoliopsida; Apiales; Araliaceae. The record is from RNAcentral.
AGAGGGAACCUCUAGGGAGCCAAACUCUUAGGGUUAAACCCUAGGUAGGAAAAACCUAGUAGGACUCUUACUUGAACAAAUUGGGAACUCCUCCAAACAUCUUUCCAUAGCUUGCCCAAUAUUUGUUUCCUUAUUUUUUAUAGAAAUUGAAACAAGGAAAUAUAAUCAAAUAUCACCAAAUAAAAUUUAAUCUAAUAAAAUCCUUCUUUAAGGUAAACUAAAUCUUUCGUUUUUACCAAAUCAAAUCUGAAAUUUUUAUUUUGGAAAUAAAAUCAAAUUCGAAUAAAAUAAAAGCUUAAUUUGAUUUUGAAAGUAAAAUUUGGAUAUAUUAAUAAUAAUAUUAUUAUUAUUAUUAUUCAAAAUCAAAUCAAAUCUUUUUUUUUGAAAAUAAAAUAAAAUCUUAUUUUAUUUUUUCAAUAAAUAAAUAAAACAUUUACUUAUCUUAUUUUUGAGAGGCAAGGAUUUGAUAUCUAUGAUUACGUCUUGCAUCCCAAAUUGCAGUAGAAAAUCUGUUGCCAUGCAUAUUACUUCAUUAGGAGCUGCUUCCUUUUCUUUUCUUUUUUUUUUGCCAUAAUAAAGGACCCUUGAAGCUAUAGCCUAUACUUGUCCUUCCCUCGUUAGCCGCAACCAAAAUGCUAGAUGCUGCUGCUUUAUUUGGUUGUGAUUAUAUAGGCUAUUAGUAUAUAUAAGCAGCUCACGCCGAACCCUUCUGACUCACGCUUCUUUUUUUUGAAAAUAAAAUAAAAUAAAAUCUUAUUUUAUUUUUUUCAAAAAAUAAAAUAAAAUAUUUUUUAAAACAAUAAAUUUUGUUUUUUAUAUAUAUAUUAUUAUCUUACCACAUCCAUCAUCAUGAUAUUUAUCCUAUAAAAUCAUGAUUGAAGUUUGUCAAGAUAGUAGAGUAGACUAAAUCAGCAGAAGUUUGAUACAGAGGCCUAGCUAGCUAGCUAGAUUUUGGAGACUUCUCUUUUAUUUCUUCAGUAAGAUGUGGAGUUGCGCUUCCCAAUAAUAAGUACUUCCACUGGCUGCCCAGAACCAUCCCUAGCCGGGCUGAAGCAUAAUGGUAAGUAAACAUUCCUUAUAUAUAUAUGCAAUCAUCUCCAUGAUUCCCUGCAGAUUCCUUAUAUAUACAGAUUUUAUCAACAAAUCAUGACCACAAUUACUCAUACACAGGCCUAAUGGGAUCGCUUGUCCGCGAAGAAGGCUAUAUUUAUUCAUUAGCGGCAAGCGGAGAUUUAUUGUACACAAGAUCCGACAGCAAGAACAUCCGUGUCUGGAAGAAUAAAAAGGAAUUCUCUGGGUUCAAAUCAAAUAGUGGAUUGGUUAAAGCAAUUAUCAUUGCUGGUGAAAAAAUAUUUAUGGGUCACCAAGAUGGUAAAAUUCGCCUAUAGAAGAUCUCUGCCAAGAACCCCAGCAUUCACAAGCGGGUAGGAUCUUUGCCCUAAAAAAGUCCGUUUUUAAGAGCUCCAUGAAUCCGAAUAGCUACGUCGAAAUCACGAGAAAACAUAAUGUCGUAUGGCUGAAACAUUUUAAUGCGAUUUCGUGCCUAAGCUUGAACGAAGAUCAAACACUUUUUUGGUGAGUAUCCGAUUCAAACUGCUUAGAAUCUGUUAAUGCUCACGAGGACGCCGUGAAUUUGGUUGUUGCAGGAUUUGAUGGAUUAGUAUUCACAGGUUCGGCUGACGGAACGGUGAAAGUGUGGCGCAGAGAGUUACAGGCGAAAGGAACCAAACAUUUCUUUUCACAGACAUUAUUGAAACAAGAGUGCGUCAUGACAGCAUUGGUGGUGGACCAUUCGUCUUCGUUCCUUUAUCGUGGCUCGUCCGACGGGCUUGUUAAUUAUUGGGAACAGGUCAAGCUUUUGUUGCAUGGGGAAUUAUUGAGAGGGCACAUGCUUACGGUUUUGUGCUUAGCUACAGAGGGUAAUUUGGUGUUUAGCAGAUCGGCUGCAAAAAAGUUUCAUUGUUCACUUUGAAUUAUGAAUGUGUUGAUUUUUCACUUGUCAAUUCUUCAUGAUUGUUUCAUUUAUUUCUUUUCUUUUUAGGUGAUUGUAGUAUUUCUUUUGUCUUCCGAGCCCCAUUACCUUGAUCAUAUCUUGGUUUUUUCCCUUGGAUCAUAAAGAAAGAUUGGUGUUUUUCGAUGAACCGCGAAGGAAAAAAAUGCUUUUUUCUUUCUUAUGUCUUCCGAGCCCCAUUACCUUGAUUACAUCUCGGUUUUUUCCCUCGGAUAACAAAGAAAGAUUUGACGUUCUUGUCAAGGAAAAACACAAAGGGAGAAAAAAAUGCUCUACAUGCGGCGAAACCACCCCAGUUAACCGAACCCUAGGGGUCCGAACCCUAGGAGGCUGAACCCUAGGGGGACGAACCCUGGGGGAACGAACCCUGGGGGGACGAACCCUAAGGGGAAAUCAAUGUUUAGAUGGAAUUCUGCUCUUUAGAGCCCUUUAUGCUGAAUUCUUCUUGUUUGCAGGCCCUCUUCGUUGGACAUUAUGCAGACCCGAAAACCGCCAAGGAGGCCCCGUUCCUUAGUGAUUGGGGAAAGGCUCCCCUCUUUGGUCUUUCCAAUGUCUUUUGGGAGCAAGUCUAGACUUAUGACCGUACAACUUUUCCUCCGCCAGAGAAGGAAGACUUGUUUCUAUAUGCAGCGGCUUGUGGAGGUUGGGAUGACUUUCCCGAUUUUGAUUGCAUUCCCUGCAUAUGCAUAGAGAAACAAGAAUACCCUUUCAGUCCCCUUCGCUUCCUGUCUGAUUCAUCUGAUCGCCUUCAAGGAUGGCAGGAUUGGACCGACGAGAUAUUUGGAAACACUGAUUACGUGGAUAUACUCAAGAGUGUGGGCAUCUUUUGUUGUGUUCAACUAUGCAGAGACCUACGUAUCCAACAGGACCAUAACGCCCUUACUGUAUUGAUCUCACGAUGGUCCUCCUCUACUUGCACAUUUGUCACUACUUGGGGGGGAAUGCACCUCUACGCUGGAGGAUGUCUAUGUCAUCUACCAGUACGCAUUUUGCCCCCUGCGCGUGAGUCACACCUUUGGUGAGAUGAUCGCGCAAAAUAUUUUAAGUGUUGAAGUCUUGAUUCCAGUUUCUAAACACCUCACGAGGCUUGAUUAUUUUUUUUUUGCAAGCCUCGAAAAUGAAAGUCCUAGGAAAGGGAACCUCUAGGGAAGCAAACCCUCGGAGGGCGAGCUCUAGAGGAGCUCUCCCGGGAUAUCUUGGAAAAUCUUCAAUCUAAUCCUUCCCCACAUGAUAUAAUCCUUCGAGUCUUGACGCUAAAAAUUCUUUGUCUAAUGUAAGCUCGGAUGGCCUGUUGUGAGUGGUGCAUCGCUUUCUUCAUGCCUUUCUACAAUUUCUUCACAUAACAGUUUUGAGAGCACCGAUGAGACUCUUGCUUCUUUGAGAAGGAAUCCUUCUGAGACUAUUGCUGAUGUUUAUCCUCCCAAGGAGGAUUCCGCCAAGUUGGUGAUUGCUCGGGAGGGUAUUGUGGAUAGCACUUUGGGAGUGUUGAAUGACCUUCCGUCUCUUGUGGUUGUGGCCUCUCCUAACUCUCCUUGGACAUGUCUCCCUUCCAUGUUAGAUUGGAUCUCUUUAUUUCCAAUCAUGUUGUUGCACUUCAUUUGGAAGUCACUUCACGUCAUCAUGAGAAUGACUUAUUUUAUGUAAAGUUUUAGGAGCUUCAAGAUGUCAUGGAUAAAUUGAAGACCAAGCUUUUGGGAAAUCAAGUUAGUUGCCCAAGACCUUGAAGGCCUGACAACCUUGAAGGCCCGAUAGCCUCGAAGGCCUGAUAGCAUUGAAGGCCAAGCUUUAGCUAUUCCCCUCUCUUCAGUUCUACAGGUCAUGAACUUUCAUAGUUUUUUCCAUUUCCUGUAUCAGAAAAUUCAUUUACAUGUAUUGCAUUCAUCAAAUUAUAGUUUCUUUAACCUUGUUGAUUGCUUUUAAUUUGAAUGAUUCCUUAAAACUCAAUAUUUAUCAUUGAAUCUCAAGUUAUUCAAAUUAAUACUCCAAGACAACAAUAGGUAUUAUAAACAAACAAACAUGAAUUUUGUCAAAAACAUGUAUAUAAAUUUUUCACAAACCAACACUUUAUACUUUUUUAAAAAGAAAACAUUCGAGUAUAAAUGAAAGUUUGUCAAUUAAUUGAUAAUCAUAUUGCUUUUAAUGAAAAACAUAACGUUUCAUAAUAAAUCUUGCUUUUGUCGAAGAAAGCAUAACGUUUGCCACUUUUAGAGAUAAAGUGUAACUUUCUUGCUUUUGUAGAAUAAAGCAUAACGUUCACCACUUUUAAAGAUAAAGUGUAACUUUCGGGGUUGAGGGCUUAUAUUCAGGUGCCUCAGUUACUUUUGAAGUUGAAAGCAUAACUUAGGAGGACUUAUAGUCAGGUGCCUAAUUCACUUUUGAUGAUAAAGUGUAACACUCGGGUGCCUCGUCACUUGGGUCAUCCAAUUUCUUGGCAAGUGCAGUCUACGAGAACUUGAAAUCGGGUGCUUCGUCACUUGGGUCGUCCAAUUUCUUGGCAAGUGCAGUCUAUGAGGACUUGAAAUCGGGUGCUUCAUCACUUGAGUCGUUCAAUUUCUUGGCAAGUGCAGUCUACGAGGACUUGACCACCAUUUAGAGUGGACCACCAUCUUGGGUGGAUUUUUUUUAUUUUUUAAUUCGUCAAUUAUUAUGCCUCCUCCCUUGGUCACCCAAUUACUUGGCAAGGGAUAUUCCUGAGGACUUAAACCACCAUUUUUUGUGGACCACCAUCUUGGGUAUAUUUUUAAUUCAUCUGUAGUUCAGAGUUUUUUCAAUGGUAGAACCAGUAUUUGGGUUCUUGACUUUUGGGAGUGCACCAUGGGUGAUAGCAUUGCACGUUUCUUCUCCUAGUUCAAUCUCUUCGGCCGCCAGCUUCUCAUGGUAUAUCAUUCAUAGACUAUAACAGUCCAUAGUGGAAUGUCCUGCAUAUUGGUGGUAUACACAGAAGUCCGACCUUCUUUUCAUCUCUUCCGUUACAACCAACCGGGGCCUUAGAGGCUUCACCACUCCGUGCUCAACCCAUUGUUCAUACAAGCCCCUGAAUGCCUUCUCGCUGCAUGUGAUAGUCUCUGGAACUGGCAUUCUGGUAUACUGGUCACCAUGUUUUUCUCUGCUUCGCUCAAAUUUCUCAUUCUUCUCCCUCUUGCCCCCUUGUAGUUUUGACUGAGAAUCCGCCAAAGCAACAGUUGCUGUCCUCUUGCUCUUCCAUGUAACCAUCGCAUGGCUAUUGGAAAAUGUCAUGAUUCCCCCCAAGUCUUGUGCAAAAGAUGAGAGGGUCGCAAAUGAAUCACAAGCCUUGGUAAUGAGGUGGGGCUUGAAGGUGUCUAAAGCACCAUUGUUACAUAUGCUAACUAAAUUCUUUUCUUCAAUUGGCUCUGCAUACUUCUGUGCUUGGGCCCUGAACCUAUCCACGUAAUCUGAUAGCUCCUCAUUCGGCUUCUACUUAAACCACUUGAGCUCUACAAUUGUUACCUAUUUCUACACAUAGAAAAACUUCCUAAAAAAUUAUAAUUUUAGGUCAUCCCAAUCAUGGACUGACCCCUUCUCCAAAUUAUAGUACCAACUGAAGGCACUAUCCGACAAAGUCUUGUUGAAUUCUCGCAUCAAUAAGUUGUGUUUGUUCACUUCAUCAUAUCGUAGCCACGGAGACAUUGACUCUACGAACCUGACAAUAUGUUCCCUGGCAUUUCCUUUCUCCUCGUUGUAUUUUGGAAAUUAUGGGAGAUGCUCAAUAUACCCUGUCGGGUAAGGUUGCCUCCGAAUGUGUGCCGGGUAAGGUGGAGUAAAGUCUAACUCCGAGGGUCGGGAUGUCUGCCUCCGAAGUUGAUUGAUCACAUCGAUCAUAUCAUCCUUCGUCACGUAUUGGCUCGUGGCAUGAACUCUCUGGGGUGUUGUGAUAUACUGUUGUACCGGCGGUGUGUAUGGUUGAUGCAUACUUGCAUCGUGCAAAGCUGGCACUGGUGGUAGUUACUGGCUCACUCGCUGGACAUGGAUUGGGACGGUUGGCAUCUGCACCUGUGAAAAUACUGGGAGAGCAGUUGGGAUGAUGUUUGUAUGAGGUUGACUUUAUUCCAACCUGGGUCGUGGCGUGUCACCGUUGUUUUGGGGCUCUAGGUUGAUGAUUUGAACCUACUGAUUCUCCGUCGAUGGAGGUACAAUCUGGUUCUCUUUGUUGUUGUUGCCAUUAUUAUUGUCUUCCACUCUUGCUUGUUCUCCCUGCAAACUGCCUGGGAACAUGGCCUUGAAGGUAGGGAUCUGCAUCAACUGCUGGCAAAAAUUUCCCAUCUCCUCUUGCUUCCUCUGCAUCUCCAGCAUCAUGGCCAUCAUCAUCCCUUGUCCUUCCCGUGCUUCCUUCAACGCCUUGAGCAUCUCCAGUUGCACAGCAUUUGUCUGCUCUUGACUAGGAUCCUCGCUUUGCCUUCCUGCGUUUGUUUGUUGUUGAUUGGCCAUAUGUGGUGAUGUUGAACUCCCUUCCGAAGCGUCUUCAAUAAUUGGUUGGUCAAAAUCCAGAUUUACGCCUUGGAAAGCUUGAGUUGCUUACCUUGGAACUAGAUCCGGUGAGGUAAUGCUAUUUGUUGGUGAAGCAGCUCUUCCUGUAGUUCUCCCACUUCAAGUUGUGAGCAUACCCUUCACGAAUUCUACACGUCCCCAGCAGAGUCGCCAAAUAAAUGUGGGCAAGGAAAUCAUACCUUGCUAGGGUUAGGGUUUCGUGUUGGCUGAGGAGGAGAGAAAUCCACGAAGAGCACGGAAUUGAUUGGUUGAUUGAAGAUGGGAGAACGACAGGUGGGCGAUUACUCCAACAACGCGUGGCAGAACUCCUAGAAUCCGGGAACCGUGUUAGGGUAGCAGGGAUUCCAAGAGCCUUCUUGAGUCCUUCGAGCUGAUAGAAUGUCCAAACCCUAUAGUGCUUUUAGGUGGAAUUUCCAAGCCUUAAGCAACUAAAAGAGUCCUUUGAUCUUCCAAGAGUCCAAGUUCUGAGUCUGAAGAGAGGUCCCCUUCCUAAUGGAAUGGAAGGGAUAUUUAUAGGGUUUUCUGAAAAGUAGUCAUGUGCAAGGCACAUGCUUUCAAGGAAAUUCUAGAAAUACCCUUUAGUCAUUAGAAUAAUGCCCAUAUUGCUCUGUCCUUCUAGCCACCAAUCUAAUCCCUCAAUCGAUUCCCAAAACGAACCGCCUCCACGAGUCUUCCGCCUCGGGACACGUGGAGGCUUCUCCCGAGUCUAGCACAUUUAUUUCUGACUUUUUUUGUCUUCAUUCCAUUAGGUUAUGUGAACCCUAAUUUGCACAUUUAAUGAGGUCGUGGAACCUUAAUUGUGCAUUUAAUUCAAUUAGGUCAUGUGAACCUUAAUUUUACACUUGGGCCCACAAUAUAUAUAUAUAUAUAUAUAUAUAUAUAUGAAAUCAUUACUACUUUUACUUGAUAUAUGUUACAUGUAUUUGACAUAUGUUACAUGUUGUUGGUAUAUAUAUAUAUAUAUAUAUAUAUAUAUAUUAAUCUUAAUUCCCAUCUAAUAUUAAUUUAAUAUUAGAAAACCUUUUUCUAUUAGAUAAAAAUAUUUUUUUCUUUUAAGACAUAUAAUAACAAUGUAAAUAAUAUGUCCUAGAGCCUUUAAAUGAAAAAUCAAUUAAUAUGCAAUUGACCUUACAUUUGUUUUCCUAGAAAGAAAAACUCUCUUCAUCCAUUUGAAAUUCCCACCAACGUUCUUUUAUCAACAAAUACCCGAAACACCAUAAAACAAUUUAGUAUAUAAUCAUUUCAUCAUCAAAACUUAAGGAUGGAAUAUGACAAAGUCAACAUUAAGCAAAAUUUACAACAAAUACUUCAUAAAAUAUUCCUCUAUUUAUCUCAAUUCACUUGGCUUCCCUAAACAUAUUUUUAAUAACAUUUAUUCAUCAUUAUUAUAACUCGCAAUAUUAACAAACAGAUCAUUCCCAGAAAAGAGGGGGCUUUCUGAUAAGGAUUUUUCUUUAUUGGCGCGCAAUUAGGUGACCAAAUCACUUUUCUCGACAAAACUUUCUAGACAUCGUCAAUAAUGCAAAUAAUAAUAUGAAUAAUUUUGUUGUCUCAAUUAUUAAUUUAAUAAUAUAAAAUAUUGUGCAGAUAAUACUGUGACAAUAAUUGAAUCAAUAAUAUGAGAUACUAUGUAGCAAUUACUGUGACAAUAAUUAAAUAAAACUGAGUGAUUUCUCACGUAAGCACCAAUAAUCAAAGAUAUUGUACAAUACCGUGCGCUACUAUGCAACCACGCGUAUUAUUGUACUUUUAUCAUUGGGGUAUUUCAACAUUUAACGGUAAAAAUUUUGCCGUUAUUUUUAUAAAAAGUUAUUUCUGUCAUUUUUAACUCUGACAAUUAUUCCGUUGUGGGGUCCACCAAUGAUUGUGCCGUCGUACGAAUAUUCCCUAAUAAAAUGAAUAUUCCCCGACCAAUCGAAUAUUUUAUGAUAAAUUACUUACUUUGUAAAAUUUAUAAAUAUUACCCACAACUAUAACAUUAUACCAAAUCCACACCUUAUUACUCAAAAUAAUAUUUGGAGAAAAUUAAAUCUUUAUUCAUAAAAGUUGGGGUCUUACAAUUAUAUAACAGUCAAUCGUGCAAUAAAAUUUAUUCUUGGAGAUCCGUUAGAGAUACAUGCACAGUGGCGAAGCCACAUAUAAUAUUGUGGGGUCAAUUGAUCCCAUUGAAAAAAAAUAAUUACUUUAUAAUGUAAGGUAAAUUUUUAAAUAUUAUAUAUAAAUUGACCCCACUAAAAUUUUAUAAAUUUUCUUUAUAUAGGGUCAAAUUGAAAAUUUAUAACUUUGUCAAUCAAAUUUUAACCACAUAUGACUCAUAUCAUCUCAAUAUAUAUAUAUAUAUAUAUAUAUAUAUAUAUAUAUAUAUAUAUAUAUAAAAGUGUGACUUCAAUGUACAAAAUUAUUAUAAAAAAAAUUGACUAGGAGGCAUUGUCCCUGAACCCAGUCAAAUUAUUUAUAAUUUAGCAAUAAUUUUGAACCCAUUGAAAUUUAUUCCUUGUUUCGCCACUAUACAUGCAGCUAAAAUAUAUACCAAAAAAUUGUUUUGACGUUUUCAAAUUAAAUUAAUAAAAUUGCACAAGUUAACUUCUAAAAUAGUGCAUUAGAUGACAACUCCUUAUUUAAAAAAUUACUUGGUGUUUAAAGUGAUAAUUACUUAUUUGGCUUGAUUUAUUAUUUAAUUUAUAAAGAAGUUUUUCCAUUUCUACCCUCGUUAAAAGUUAAUAAUUCAACAAAUCUCUCUCUCUCUCUCUCUCUCUCUCUCUCUCUCUCUCCAUCAUUGUCGUUUUAUUUAUCAUUAUCCAAACACUACUGCUACAUUAAAAGUUGCUGAGAAAUGCAGUGUUUUAUUUUUUAAUUGUCCUUUUACAUUUUUAGUGUCCUUUUUCUGCAUGAAUGUCUGAUUGCAGGUAAAUUAAGUCUUAUCAUUGUCUGUUAGAAGUUAUCUGCUCAUGUUUAACUUGAGUUUUUCUUUUUUCUUUUUGGUAUUUUGUAAUCAAUAAGUCUAGGCAUAUAUUUUUUUUGGACCGAAUUGUUAGACAUAUCUAAUUUUUUUUCUUUUAAAUCCUAAAAAAUUUAUAAUAUUUAUUUUAACUAAUUUUUUUAUAAAAUUCAAUGAGUUAAAUAUAAUUUGGAUACAUAUAAAAAAUAGAAUUGUACAAUUUAUAUAACACAUGUUUUUUAUAUGUAUCCAAAUUAUACAUAAAUUACUGAAUUAUAUGAUAGAAUGAUUUAAUUGUACGAUAAUUAUUUAUAAAAUAAUUUUUUUCAUUGUUAAACGUUAAUUUCAUAUUAUUCGGAUAGUCAUGAUAUGCUAAAAGCUAUCACUCAUGAUGUAAAAUAAAUAUAAUUAAUUUUAUUAAUUAUUUACAAGAAUUAGUAGUGUUUAAUUUGUUUAAAUAAAAUUGGAACCGUUCUAAUUUUAUUUAUUCUACUACCAUCAUAAUAUUGAACCUAAAUGGUUAUACCAUAAAAAAUAUUGAUUUAAAAGUAAUGACCCAAAUAAUAAUAAAAUAAGUAUAUUAAAUUUGUACCAUGAUGAAAUAAAUUAAAUAUUUUAAUAUUUAUAAUAAAUUAUUUAAGAAAUACUAAUUAUAAAUUAAUAAGUUCCUAAAUAGCUUAGAAAUUAGAUUAAAACUCUAAAUACUAAAGAGUUUAGGAAAGAUGAGUUGAGAGACUUUAUUAUGGAGUAGCGCGUACUACAAUUAUUCAUUCUCAAAUCUAAAUAGUUUAGGAAAGAUAUAGAAGAAAAAAAAAAGGACUAAUCACCUUAGGAUUUUUUAUAACCCUAAAUUAAUCCUUCAUCUAUAUUUUCUUGAUGGAUCACUAUUAGAGUGCUACAAACACCAAGUAACUUACAUUUGAUCCGUGCAAUUGAAGGAGCGUCAAGUGAUAUAAAGAAUUGGAACUUGAAAGACCAAAUUAAAAGUUUAUUUGUUUUUAUCCGGAUAAUUUUAAACCUUACUCAAUUAAUAAUAUCGUAUAAAGAUGAUUCUUGAAAUUAUAAAAAAAAUUAAAUACAAUUUAUAACAUACUUCCGCGUGCGUAUAAUUAUAUUUUAUGCACUAACAAUGCAAAAUAUAUAAAGAUGACUAUAAAUAUGUGCUCAAAAUAAUAGUUGCAUUUUUAAUCAUAUAAACAAAUAUAGCCUUAACAUUUAAAUCAUUAUUCCAAUAACUAUCUAUAGCUUUACGCAUCCAGUCCAACUUAUGGCGAACAUUAUACAUAAUUAUCAUCCGUGCCAAAUUAUCAUAUAAUCUACAUAUAUAUACCCAUGCAAAUUCAUUAAAUAGAUUAUAUGAUAUUAAUUACGACAUAUAAUUCGGCCAACAAAAACACAUAAACCAAACUGCGAAGCAGUAAUAGAUUCUCAAAAUCAUAUACGCUGGACAUAUAUAAAUUGACUUAAUAUAUGAAUUUACAAAUUAAUACAGCUACAAUCUGACAAUUUCAUUGUCAUGAAUGGGCCAGAAAGCUUGUUGUUUAAUUUGGUUAUUUUGCUUUUGUUAGCCAAAAAGUAUGCAUGUAAAUUACUAAGCCAAAUUGCUAGACAUCAUCACGUGAUUACAUUAACCAAAUCGAUACACAUGGACGGAUUACAUGAAUUCAUAUCAUAACAAUCAAAGUGACUUUUUGAUUGGUAAUGCCAAAUUUCAAACAGCAGUACGGUGGAAGUUAAACAGUAAUGUCAUGAUGGGUUCGGCAAAAUUAUUUAACGUCCGUACGUUUAAGCGAUAUAAUCGUAUCAUAGGAGAAAUAAAUUAAUUGGAUCCCUCCGCAGAGUCGGUCUUGGGUUUUCUAAGGCUCAGAGCAAAUUUUUUCAAGUGUGUCUUUUUAUAUAAAUUAAAUAAAAAUAAAAAAAUUAUCAACUAAUUAUUUUUUAUUAAAAUUAUAAAAAAUUACAAAAGAUAAGGAAGAACACUUUAAAAUGUCAUCGAAACAAAGAAUUAUCACAUGUACCUACAAAAUAAAAAUAUCAAUGAAAUCGGUAAAACUAAUGAAAUACACAUUGUAGUUGGCAAGUUUUACUGAUUACACAAUUGAACUUUUAAUUUUUUUAAAUUACCACACUAAACUAAUUAUUAUUUUAAAAUUGAGUUAUUCCGUUAAAAAAAAUAAACGGACGUUAAUUUUUUAUCUACAAAACUAAUGAAUUACCCACUGUAGUUGGCACGUAUUACUGAUUACACUAUUGAACUUUUAAUUUUUCAGAUUAUCCCAUUAAACUAAUUAAAAAAUGAUUAUUUUAAAUAUUUUUAAAAAUAAUUAUUAUUUUCAGUAAAAAAUAUUAGAAACUUUAAUUUUUUUUUCCAUAAAAUGAGUAAAGUUUCAUAAAAUAUAGAUUUAAAAAAAUUAAAGUUUUAUGAAACCUUAUUGAUUUUUAAAUUAUUUUUUUCCUUUUGAAAAUAAAGUUUAUUUUUUUGAAUCUAUAUUUUAUAAAAUUUUACUCAUUUUUUUAAAAUAUGAAGAAUUUUCUAAUUUUUUUCUUAAAAAUAAUAUUUAUUUAUAAAAAUUAUUAAUUUCUUUUUUGAAAAACUUGAAUUAGUUUUUCUAUUUAUCUUUUACUGUUUUUUUAUUUUAAUUUUAAUUUUUAGUUUUUUUAAAAAAAUCUAAUAUUAAGAAUGGGUCAUUCUGUUAAAAAAUUAAGUAGACAUUAAUUUAAUUUAAAAUCACUUUAAUUUUUUUGAAUCUAUAUUUUAUAAAACUCUACUCAUUUUAUGAAGAAAAAAAAAUUCUAAUAUUUUUUACUUAAAAUAAUAAUUAUUUUUAAAAAUAUUUAAAAUAAUUAUUUUUAAUUAGUUUGAUGGGGUAAUUUGAAAAAUUAAAAGUUCAAUGGUAUAAUUAGUAAAAUGUGCCAACUACAGUGGGGUAAUUCAUUAGUUUUGUAGAUAAAAAAUAAACGUCCGUUUAUUUUUUUUAACGGAAUGACCCAAUUUUAAAAUAAUAAUUAAUUUAGUGGUGUAAUUUAAAAAAUUAAAAGUUCAAUGGUGUAAUUAGUAAAACCUACCAACUACAGUGAGUAUUUCUUUAGUUUUGCCCAAUAAAAUUUAAACCACAAAACAUCAUUUAAAAUAUUUUCUUGUUAUACUUUUAGAUGCAAAAUCAUCAAUUAUACUAUCAUAUUUAAUGUUUUCUAACAUAUCAUUUUUAAUGUAUAAUAUCGCUAAUCUUUUUAUUAUUUUAUUUUUUCUAUACACAUAAAUAUAUAGCUUAUAAAAAAAUAAAAAAAUAUGGGCCCCUCAACUGUGGGCCCUGGGCGGUUGCCCUGUUGGCCCUUGCCCAGGGCCGGCUCUGUCCCUCAAUAAAUUAUUUUUAUAUAUAAAAAAAUUAACUUUAUUUGGUGAAGUUCUGAUACUAAUUAUAAUUAUUAAUUUGUAAUAAUUCAUUUUAUCCGUAUACAUAAAUAGGAGAAGAACACGUAGAAUUAGACCUGACAAUUUAAUUUAUAAACUGAUGAGUCAACUUAUAUUAAUUAUAAUUAUUUGGCUUGGUUAAUUAUUUUAAAUUCUAUGAUUUGAUUUAAAUUUGAACCUAUAUUUAAAAAAUAAAAAAAAAACAGACCCAAACUAAUUAACUAAUUUUGACCUUUUUUUUUUUCCAUUAUCUUGACCUACUUGAUUUCUUCGUAUGUAAAGGUAUUCCAGAAUUCGCAAGGUAUUGGAAUAUGUAAAUAAAUGAGGUUCAAGGGAUGUGAAUUCAAAUAUGUCUGUCAUGCAAUAUACUGAAUCGUCUUGUUUUGAUUUCUUUUCUUUUCAUGUACAGUCUGUGUCUAUCAAGGUGGUUAUUGCUACUUUGAUUGAACGGAAUUAUACUUAUUUUAUGUUUAAUUAAAAAAAAUUGUUAAUUUAAAAAUAAUAAUAUAAUAAUAAAAUUAUUAUGGCAUUAUGUCAUUAUAUACUAGGAUCAAUAAAAAUAUUACUUUUCUCAUUCCAAAAUUAGAUAUAUAUUUUGAUUUUUUCGAGUUAAUUCGCGAAAUUUUAAAAUUCAAAAUUGAUAUGAAUUUACUUAGUUUUAAUACAAAUAAAUAUAACAAUUGUAAAUUAAUUAUAAAGUACUAUUAAUUAUCAUCUUUGUUGUUUUUAAAACUUAAACGAAAUUAUAUAUCAAUUUGGAGUUUUCGGAUUUUCCUAAUUGAUUUAAAAAAGUCAAAAUGUAUUUUUGAUUUUGGAACGAAGACAAUACUUUUUUUUCUAAAAAAAAUACAAAUUAGACUCUUUUUAAGAGUACAAGGUUGAAUGCAACUAUAAAAAUACUUAUACAAAAUAUUUGGUAAUUAAAAAAAAGACAAAAAAAGAAAAUGUUAUUUUGUGAUGAAUGGACUUUUCUAAAUAAAUGUGCUUUCUAAGUGUUGGGUCCUGACCUACUGGACCGAAUGGAUUGAGCCACUUAUUUGGUUAUUCUCUUGGGUCAUUAUUAUUGGGCCUUGUUAUUAGACUAAUUCAUUGGAUUAUCUUGAUUAGAUCUUACAAAGUCUUGGGUCGAAUUAUUGAACCGGCCCAUUAGAUAAUUUAAAUAUCUACAUCUUUGACUUGUAAUGAUGGAAAAAGAUAACGGUUGACCGAGAUCUCUGCCAUGCAUUAAUGUGGAUGAGAUUAUAGUCGGCCGGCGGUGGUGACCAGUGACAGUAUGUAGUGGGUGAGCUGCAUGCAGUCGGAUGAGACCGUCAGAGUCAGUGGAUAGACGUCAGAUAGCAGUAAAAGGCACGGUUAACCGGGCAGGAGAGUAUAACAUAGCAAAGAAGUCAUCCAAGUAAAGGUAACUGAUAAUUUUAUCUUUCUCAAUACACUAGAUAUUUUAUCCUCCAUUGUUAACCUUGUGAUCGCCUGUACUGACUCUCACGCCUGAGCUAUCCCCCGACGGUCGAAGCCGUCAAGCUUUUGGUAUUGAUCGUGUUUAUUGUGCAUGAUCAGGACGUCUUACGUGAUAGGGACGUGGCAGAAGAUCUUGGCGUUAACAUUGGCGCUAAAAGGAGGGGUGUGUUCUAGUGUUAUUGAGAUUUCAAUCACAAGUUCCCAUUUGUUCUACUUCGGAAGAUGGUGAGAAGUAGAGAUAAUACACCGGAGGGACAGCCGGAGGCUGUAAGUUCAUCCUUGCCUCGUGUUUCAGUUAAGAAUCGUCUGGGUCCUUCCAAAAGUGCUCAUGAGAGUACGGCUUCCAAGCAUGAUUCAGGGGGUUCUCGUUCGAGAGCCCAUGGUGAAGCCCGAAGAAGAUUGAACUUUGCUGCUGAUAAGGAGCGUGACCAUGGCCGAAAGCGGGUAGAAGGUUCACCGCCUAGGACACAUCAUCGAAGUGGUCGAGAUGAUAAAGCUGCCAAGUUGGCAAGGAUGGUAGAAGAAGCGGAUAAAGCUUUGGAUGUUCUUCUAAAGCAAAGAGAAGAUAUAGCCGAACAGAUGCUUCGGAUUGCAGAGUUGAGGGACGAGGCGUCUAGUCAUGUUCAAUCCGAGAGGCGUAGUAGGCCUAAGGAUGUACAGCAGCGAGACAGAAAAGAGCCGGAACAUUCUAUUCGUGUCUCUCGAGGAUAACCUCAGGAGCGAAGGAGAUCAAGGAGCAGAACCCCUGAGGUGUCAAAGAAAGCGUUUCUGGUUAUCGAUUCUCAAGGUCGUGAUGGAGGCAGACAAAGGAGCCGGUCAAGAGAGCAUAUACCUGAGAAUAGAAAGAGAGAGCACCAGCAUGAAUAUUCUCAUCGUGAUGACAUGGCCACGCGCCGAAGUAGAUCCAAAAGUCCAUCAAAGGCAGUGGGGUCUGAUAGAGGAGGUCGGUCCACUCAGAAGAAGAAAAUAUCUCCAGAGAAGGAAGUCUCCUCGAAACCGGAAUGUGUGGAUUUCUUGGUGAAGGAGUUGAAGGAGCAGACCUCAACGAUCUUCAAGCUAUCGGGUUAUUUCAGAAUGGGUUAGAUUUGGUGAAAUUGGAGAAGUUGGUGAAGAAGUUGAUGUUUCACCAUCCGAAGAGCUUAGCCGAAGCCUUUGAUAAAGCCGAAGGCUAUAUUGUAGUGGAGGAGGCUAUGAAUAGCCUGAAACGUCCUUCUUCGGACCGCAUGAAGGAGAUAGAUACUUCUAAGGCUGAGGGCGAUUAGAAGAAGGUUGGAGGGAAUAAUGAUCGGCCAGAGGGCAGCUCAAAGAAGUACAACAACACAUGGCGACAGGGAAGUAUCGCCCACCUGUUCCUACCCAGAAGGUGAACAAGGUUUACACUAAACUGAACAUGGAUAGGUCGGUGAUAUUGGAUCAGAUCAGGAACCAGCCGUUCUUUGAACCACCUCGUGAUAAUUUUAAGCCAGGACAGGGCAAUGCUCGAUAAUUUUGUGGCUAUCAUCAAGCUACAAGUCACGAUACAAAUGAAUGCUGUAAUCUGAAGGACUUUGUGGAGAGGAAGAUUCAGAGCGGUAUGUUAGUUCAGUAUGUGGCCAGAAGGGAUCAUCAGCAGGAACAACAGAAUGCAGAUCGGACUGUUCAAGUGGUUCAACUGGUUCCACCCAUACAACCUACUCCAAAUCAGCCACCAAGGCACGUCGUUGAUGUAAUAACCGGUGGGACGGCAGGAAAGUUGGUAGGGAAGAAGAGGAGAGGAUAUCUGGACUCGGUCAUGUCCGUGGCGGGUGUUCUCCCGAAGGUUGAUAGACCGUUUCCAGGGACAGUUAUAACUUUUAUUGAUGCAGAUUAUCCUUCGGAGCCCAUCGAACCCCAUGAAGGAGCACUGGUGAUCAUGGCACAAGUGGGUUCGGUAGACAUGAAACGGAUGAUGAUAGACAACGGGUCUUCCGUGGAUAUUCUGUAUGCCCAUGCUUAUCAGAGGAUGCAUCUUGAUGGGCGAAAGAUGGAAGUGGGUCAGGAGGCUCCUUUAUAUGGCUUCAGCAAUGAUCCGGUUAAAGUGGCAGGAACUAUUGAGCUACCAGUCAUCUUCGGUACCGCUCUACAACAGGUAGAAAUAACUUGUAAAUUCUAUGUUGUGCAUGUAGAUUCGGCCUACAACGCCAUAUUGGGACGACCUACUUUGACAGCUCUGCAAGCUGUGACUUCCAUUCCUCAUUUUAAGAUCAAGUUCCCAACAACACAUGGAGUUGGGGAGGUAGCGGGAGACUUGGAUCUGGCCAGACGAUGCUAUCAGAACGCUAUGAUAGCUUCGGGAGUAGGUGUCAGCAAGCAGAAGUAGACCAUGGCGAUAGAAAUCGAGCCAUUUACCGAAAGCAGUUCGGAGCCAUUUGUUAUGCCUGUAGGAGAAACGGAGGAGAUCGAGCUGGUUCUUGGGAAGAAGGACAAAACAAUGAAGAUAGGUUCGGGUCUGCCGGAACCCCUUCGGACAAACCUUAUGGAACUUCUUCGCUGUUAUGUGGAUAUUUUUGCAUGAGAGCCUCAGGACAUGUCGGGAGUCAGCCAAAAGAUUGCUGAGCACCGGUUGGACGUAGAUCCUUCAAAGAAGCCAAUUCAGCAGAAAAGGCGUAUUUUUGCACCUGAGCGUCAGAGGAUCAUUGAUGAAGAGAUUGCAAAGCUGAUAGCUGCUGACUUCAUCUUUGAAAUAGAUUACCCGAAGUGGAUGGCCAAUGUGGUGCUGGUGCAGAAGCAGAAUGGAAAGUGGCGAGUAUACAUCGACUACACAGACCUGAACAAAGCUUGCCCGAAGGACUUCUAUCCUCUACCUCACAUUGAUUAACUUAUCGAUGCGACUUCGGGGUAUGCACUACUAAGAUUUAUGGAUGCUUUUUCAGGUUAUCAUCAAAUUUCUAUGUGCAAAGAGGAUAUUCUGAAGACAACUUUCAUCAUGCAUCGUUCGAUGUACGCUUACAAGAAAAUGACAUUUGGCUUAAUCAAUGCUGGAGCCACUUAUCAAAGAAUAAUGACUUUGUCUUUCAAAAGCAGCUAGGAAGGAAUAUGGAGGUAUAUGUGGAUGACAUGAUAGUGAAAAGCAUGAUCGUUCAGAAGCACUUGGAUGAUCUUGAGGAAUGCUUUCAGACGGUUCGUCAUCACAAAUUAAGGCUUAAUCCCACCAAAUGCACUUUCAAACUCGGUGCAGGGAAAUUCUUAGGUUAUCUGGUCAGUCAGAGAGGCAUUGAGGCCAAUCCAGAGAAGAUCCAGGCUAUUCUGAACAUGAAGACUCCUCAGUCAUUCAAAGAUAUUCAGCGUCUGACAGGGAGGAUUGCAUCUUUGAGGAGGUUCAUGUCCAAGUCAGCAGAGAGGUGUUUGCCGUUCUUUAGCACGUUGAAAGGAUCGAAGAAUGCCAAGACGUUCCAAUGGAAUUCAGAAUAUGAAGAUGCUUUCCAAGGCAUAAAGACGCAUUUGUCUUCGGCACCUUUGCUGGUGAAGCCAGUUCCUGCUGAACCACUGUAUCUGUAUCUGGCAGCUAGUUCGUUGGCGGUGGGAGCAGUGCUGGUUCGAGAAGUUGGGGGGAAGUAGCAUCCAGUUUACUAUGUCAGUCAUGUUCUAAGGGAUGCUGAAACCAGGUACCCAAAUAUUGAAAAUUUUGCCUUUGCUUUGAUAAUAGCCAGUCGAAAGCUUAGGCAAUAUUUUCAAGGUCGAUUCUUGGUCGUUUACACGGAUCAACCGCUGAAGAAGGUGAUGAGCAAACCAGAAGUUUUGGGGAGAUUGGUUGCAUGGACAAUGAAAUUGUCCCAAUUUUUCAUCGAAUUUCAUCCCCGAACAGCUAUAAAGGGGAAAGCCUUGGCUGAUUUUAUGGUGGAGUGUUCAUUUUCCGAAGCUGAUGCAGAGUUGCCAAAGGCUGAAGUGUCCGACCGAGCAGUUGUAGUUCUUCAGCACAACCAGAGUUCGUGGACGCUGUAUGCAGAUGGAUCUUCAACUACGGAUGUCAGUGGAGCAGGGAUUAUCUUGACAAGUUCGGAGGGAUUCAAGGUGCAGCAGGCCAUCAGAUUUGGGUUCAGAGCAACGAACAACGAGGCAGAGUACGAAGCAGUGCUAGCGGGAGUUCGACUGGCGAAGAGUCUCGAAGUUCAGAAGUUGAUCAUCUAAAAUGACUCUCAGUUGGUCGUCAAGCUGGUUUCAGGGGAGUAUGAAGCUCGAGGUUCAAGGAUGAUCAAGUAUUUGGCCGAGUUGAAGGAUCGACUUCAAUAUUUUCUCUCCUAUGAGUUUCAGGGUGUAGAUCACAAUGACAAUUCUAUUUCCGAUGCAUUGUUGAAGUUGGAUACUACAGAUGCCAACAAUUUUGAUGGGUCAGUUUAUUUGGAGGUUCUGCAACAGCUGAGUAUUCAGCAUGAAGCCGUGAUGUGCAUUGAACGUUCUAACUGUUGGAUGACUCCCUAUAUAGAAUAUCUGGCAGAUGGCAUCCUUCCUUCGGAUCAGAUGCUAGCAAAGAAGAUCAAGUAUAAGAGCGCUAAUUUUGUUCUCAUUGAUGGAGAUCUUUAUCGAAGGGCUUUUUCAUCACCUUUGUUGAAGUGUCUAGUUCUAUCUGAAGCCGAAUAUGCUCUUCGAGAGGUUUACGAGGGCAUCUAUGGCGACCAUAUGGCUGCUAAGUCAUUAGCCUUCAAAGUACUUCGACAGGGAUUCUACUGGCCUACUAUCUUCAAGGAAGCUACAGAGUACGUGAAGAAGUAUGAAAAGUGUCAGCUCAAUAGCCCAAUCCCGCAUCAGCCACCAGAAGAGCUAUACUCGAUCUUAUCUCCUAUACCCUUUGCUGUCUGGGGGGGUAGAUAUACUGGGUCCAUUGUUGAAAGAUAAGGGUCGGGUCAGUUUUGUUAUAGUCGCUAUUAAUUAUAUGACCAAAUGGGUAGAAGCGAAGCCACUUAGGUUGAUAACGGAACAAGAGUGCUUGAAGUUCAUGGAGGAGUCAGUAGUGUUUCAUUUCGGAAUUCCUAAGGUGGUGAUAUCGGACAACGGAUGCCAAUUUGUGGGAUCGAAGUUUGAAGGAUUUCUGAAGGAGUUGGGAAUUCAACAUAGAAAGACUUCGGUGGCUCAUCCACAGUCGAACGGGCAGGUCGAGGUGACCAACAGAACGCUGCUGAAUGGGAUCAAGCGCAGACUGGAUGAAGCUAAGGGGAGAUGGCCUGAAGAGCUUCUCAGCGUGUUGUGGGCUUAUCGAACUACUCCGAGGACCACUACAGGGGAUUCACCUUUCAGACUGGCCUAUGGUACUGAUGCCUUAGUCCCAGUUGAAAUUGGAUCUCCAAGUCUUCGGGUUAGUUAGUUCAAGGAGAUCUACAAUGAUGAAGGACUGAAAGUCAACAUGGAUCUGUUGGAAGAAGUCAGAGAGACAGCUUUGAUCAGAUUGGUAACCUAUCAGCGAAGAGUGGCUAAACAUUACAAUAAGGGGGUAAAACUUCAUAGAUUUGAAGUGGGAGAUUUUGUCCUCGGGGAAGUCGAAGCUUCUACACCUCAGAACUUGGAAAAGCUGAUGCCGAACUGGGAAGGACCGUAUGAAGUAGUUGAAGUUCCGAAGCCAGGAACUUAUCGGUUAAGGGCAUUGGACGGAUCCGAGAUCAAGAACACUUGGCAUGCUGGUAGAGUUCAGAAGUAUUUUCAGUAAAGAUCGAGUCAGUAUCCCGGAAGUCUGUAAAUGUUGGAUCAUCAUCAAUAAAAUAUUCACUUUUUCACAAUUGAUCUUCUUCCUAUUGGUUCUAAAUUCACAAUGGUGUAAAGAGGACGGGGUGGACUCGCUGACCAUUCGAUGGUAGCCUUUUUGGCAGGUGUUCCUUAUAAAUUUGUCAGGCCCUUCGUGGUAGGCAAACUUCAUCGGUGUAAGAAGGACGAGGUGGACUCGCUGACGAUUCGAUGGUAGCCUUAUCGGCAAGAGUGUUCUCAUGGGUUUGUUAUACCCUACGUGGUAGACAAAUUCCAUAGUCCUUUUAUGAUUUGUUUUACACCCCGAGUGGUAAACAAAUGCACCGAAGUAAGGAGGUUCGGUUGGACUCGCUGACCAUUCGAUGGUAGCCCUAUUGUUAGGUGUGUCCUAUUGAAUUUGUUCUACCCCGAGUGGUAAAUAGAUGUCCUUAUAUACUUGUUUCACCCCGAGUGAUAAACAAGAUCCUGAUGGUGCAAGGAGGAUCAGCCGAAUUCACCUUAUGCCUAAUCUGUCUCACACUUCGGUAACGAUAAGUAUGCAUUAUUUUAUUUUGUUCAAGUGUUGAGUUCGGUUCAUUAUGUCCGGUAUAUGAUAUUCUUUAACUUAAUUGAUUAUAUGAUCUGUUUGCUUACCUGGUUCACAAAUUUAAGUUAAGUUCAAACGCAUCUUAUACAGUUUUGAAGUUGAUUGAUGCUGAAUUAUUGACAAGAAAUGAACUAUACUGAAGUCAUAAGGAGUAAAGUUAACUAUUCAUUAAUACUUAACCGAUUACAUCAAAAAGGAUGAAAAUUCUUUACAAGAUAAACUUAAAUCUAGGAAGAAGUGAUAAACUAUUUCAGGCAUCAUCCUCGCCUUCAGAAGAGUACAGAAGAGCUGGGUCUAGAUGGGCUACAAUCAACUUUUCCUUGCCCCGACCUCUGCAAACUUCAUAACCCUCAGAAUAUACCUUUAGAACUUCUGCAUUCAGCUCAUCGGACUUCCGAUAUUCUUCUUGGAUUUGUUUACGCAGUUCUUCGGUCAGAGGAGGGCUUAACUCCUCUAAUGCCUUUAGUUUAUCUUGAAGCUUGCGACGUCUGGCCAAGUGUCUUUCUUUAUCAUCUCGAGCCUUCUCCUGGAGUUCAUCAACUCGUUUGGCCAAACUCAGAUUGGUUGUAGCCAUUUUUUCAUUUUUUGUCUUCAGAACCUCGUUCUUUUCAACAAGAUUGAUGUUCAUAUUGGUCAGAUCUUGUUGGCUGGCCUUAGUUGUCUUCAGCUCUUCUGUGAACGAGUUCAGUUCUUCCUUGGACGAUUUAAGCUCUUCCUUGGUCUGAGUUAAAUCCUUUUGAAGGCAUUCAUUGUUGAAGAGAGAAAUAUCACAGUCAUGUCUUGCCUUCGCCAUCGCAGACUGUAAUAUUACAUUCUCUUUUCUAGCCGCUUCUUCUGCGGCUUCGGAUUCAAGAUGUUUAGGGCGUAAACGCCCAAAAAUAGCAUUGGCCUGUACAUGUUCAGAAUUAUUUAAUCAAUCUCAGAUAUCUAACCUAAGCAUGAAAAGGAGUAUGAAGAUUGGGGAAGAUCUUUACCUGCGCUAUAUAGCUCAUGCCUUCAUCAAGUAGAUCCCCGAUCGAGCUGUUGCCAAAUCGAUGAUCGUCGGUUUCCCGAACAAACGAAUUGAAGAGCUGGAAGGGAAAGUUGGCAUUAAAUCGGGGCCAUAGAGUUGGCGAUGCCAUUGCUUCAUUUUGGAACUCGUAGGAUGAAGGUCCUAGGGGAGUGGGUAUGGGUUGAUCACGAGGUGGUGAUGGAUCCAUAUAUACAUUCUCAGGAGAUGGAGAUCGAAUUGGAGUAGGUUCUCGAGGUGGUGAUGGAGCAGACGUUGAAUUUGGGUGACUAUCUGAGGGAUGUUUUCUCUUUCGAGACAAUGCUGGAACAGGUUCGACUUGCUCUUCAUCAUCAGAGACAUGUAUCUCCACAAGGACUACAGGAGUUGGAUUAGCUGAAGAUGAAGGCACUCGAAGUUCAUCGGUUGUCAGAGGGGUGACUUUGGUUCUUAAUUUUUUGACUCGAAGGAGUCGUUUCCGAUCGUCUACGGGUAGAUCGAGUAAACUCCCUCGGCCAGAGGUUGGAUUGGUAGUUGGUGCAGGUUCUGGGAUAGUUUCAAUUUCUGGGAUUGUUUCAGGUUCUAUUGGUGUUGGUUUGGAUCUAGGUUUUCGGAUACCUCUCUUUUUUCGGUGUGGUUGAAGGGAUUCUUCUAGGGGAAUGAGGUCAUCGGCUUCUGGCUCAUUUAUUUGAGGUUCAGAAGUAUGUGUUUCAAGGGUUGGAUUGUCUUCGGGUGCAGCUUCUAUCAGGGGAGUUUCAGCAGCUUCCGAAGAUUUUCCAGACAGAAAAUCUUUCAAGUCUUUCACAUCCGAGGAUGUUUGCUUAAUCAAAGACACUGCAAAAGUCAAAAAGUCAUAUGUCAGAAUCUACAUCACUUCAAAUUUCAAAUAAUUGCACAACAAAAUAAUUCAGAACUUACAUUUGUGUUCAUCCAACCAGGCUUGCUUAGUAAGAAGCAGGUAAUUCCAUUCCUUUGACGGGAAGUUCUCGAACAGUUCUAUCAUUUCACUCACAUGUUCCUCUGGGAUGUCACCAAAGUCGGCAGAAACUACGUCAUCAGUGGCCCAGUUCGGCAAGGAGGCAAUCUCUGGUCCCUUAAUGAAGAACCACCCUUUGUGUCAUCCUUUGUUGCUAGAUGGGGUGGAGACCAACGAGCGUCUGCCAAAUUUCUCUCCUAACUUCGGAGAUUGUUUACCCAUGACCUUAAACCCCUUUUCUCGGGAUUGGCUGACCUUGUAGAUAGUGAAGAAGAAAUCGAGAGUGGGCUCUACUCCAACUUCAUGACAGAAUGCGAUGAAGGCCAGAAUAUGGAUGUAGGAGUUCGGUACCAACUGGGCGAACCCAACGCCAAUAAACCCUAGGAGGGUUAUUAUGAAUACAUGAAGAGGGAAUCGAACCCCCUUCUCAAGGAUGGUCACAAGAAUGGUCGUCCAACCUUCUGGCCUUUGAUACAUUCUCUCGCCGGAUCUAGGGGCUCUUACCAUGUGGGUGUCCGGAAUAUGAUAUCGAGUUCGAAUCCUUUUCAGUUCAAUUUCAGUAACGGUUGAUGGAGUGUUAGCAUGAGCAUAGCGUUCUGUACUCCUAUAGAAUUCAGAGGGGGUAGGAGAGGUUUUUGGAGGUGGGUUCUUGCUUGGAUUUGCAGUUUUGGGGUUCGAACUCGAGGCUUCUUUGUUAGGGCUUGGGUUAGGCAGAACGGUGGUGAUUGGAGUCACAGAAGAGGUGAACCUUGCUCGAAAUCUUGAGAAGCCAUGGAUAUCGAGUUGCAGUAAGGAGAAGAGAGUUCGAAGGAGAAGACAAAGAACUCAAGGGUCAGAAAUUCAAAUUGACAGGUAAAACUAUCAAUUUAGGGGAAAUUAUCUUUUAUACUAACGGUUACACAGUACACGAGGGCAGCACAUUAAUUGACAGUCAUAAUCAUGAAUUUGGAGGGGUAGCGUCCAAGAGAAGUUUUGAUAUUUAACCGGUUUGGGUCUUUCAUUUGGGCUUUCGGUUUUAGUUCAUCUUCUUAUUUUAAUUCAUUUUCGUUUGGGCCUUAAUGAAUUUCGUUUUGGGGGUCUUUCAAUCCUAUUUGAUUCUUCAUAUCAUGGACCAUUUAUUUUUUUCUAUUAAACACCUUGUUUAAUAAAAAACUAGGGGGCAAUGUUGGGUCAUGAUAUUUCACCUACUGGGCCGAAUGGAUUGGGCCUACGUAUUUGGUUAUUCUCUUGGGUCAUUAUUAUUGGGCCUUGUUAUUAGACUAAUUCAUUGGAUUAUCUUGAUUGGGUCUUACAAAGUCUUGGGCCGAAUUAUUGAACCGACCCAUUAGAUAAUUUAAAUAUCUACAUCUUUGAGUUGCAAUGAUGGAAAAAGAUAACGGUUGGCCGAGAUCUCUGCCAUCCAUUAAUGUGGAUGGGAUUAUAGUCGGCCGACGGUGGUGAACAGUGAUAGUAUGUAGUGGGUGAGCUGCAUGCAGUCGGAUGAGACCGUUAGAUUCAGUGGAUAGACGUCAGAUAGCAGUAGAAGGCAUGGUUAACCGGGCAGGAGAGUAUAACAUAGCAAGGAAGUCAUCCAAGUAAAGGUAACUGAUAAUUUUAUCUUUCUCAAUACACUAGAUAUUUUAUCCUCCAUUGUUAGCCUUGUGAUCGCCUAUACUGACUCUUACGCCUGAGCUAUCCCCCGACGGUCGAAGCCGUCAAGAUUUUGGUGUUGAUCGUGUUUAUUGUGCAGGAUCAGGACGUCUUACGUUAUUGGGACAUAGCAGAAGAUCUUGGUAUUAACACUAAGUAUGUUUCGUACAUACGUUAAAACUAGUGCUAAGACACUUAUUCUCUUCUAUGAUAAUCAUGUGUUAGGUAUUUUUCUUUUCAUUGACGUUGAUGAAUUUCUGGUUUUGGAUUAAUUAAUUCUCAGGUUUAAUUGAUGCAUAAGUUUGAAAAAAGGUUAAUUUUGUCUAACAAAAACUUAAAAACAUCACAAGUAAUUAAAUUUUAGAGAGAGUGUGUGUAUAAAAGUUUUAGAGAGAGAAGUUAAAAGGAAGAUAUAAAAAAUAAAUUUAAAGUAAUUUAUUUAAUUGGACCAUAAUAAAUUAAUAAUGGUAAGCUUGAAAUUUGAAAUACGUGUUUACCUAUAUUUGACCCAUAACUAUAUAGUUUCAACCCACAUAAUUCAUAAUUAUAUAAUUCCAACCCACAUAAUCCAUAAUUAUAUAAUUUCAACCCACAUAAUUCAUAUUAAAAAUAAGUAAUAUGGUUUUAAUUCUUAAAUAGAAUCAUAACUAAAUUAUAUAAACCAAAAUUAACCCAUUACCAUACCUACGUAUAUAGAAAAUAAUAAUAUUGUGUAACUUAUUUGGAAUUCAUAAUGAGCUACCGCAACAGAAUUGAUCUUUCUGAAUGACCAAAUUACUACUCCCUUAAUGCCUUAAAUGUUGGCUUGAUGAGAAACCUUCAAUAGCCUUCCUAGUAUUAUGAAAAUUGGUAUGUGUAUAGAAUCAAGGGGGAUGACAUAGUUCUUUAUUUAUAAUAAUUCUGAUUAGCAAUCCUAGUGAAACUACUUAUCACAAUCUCAAAAUGUUAUUUAAAUAACUCAUACUGGUCAAUCUAUAACGCUCCCAAAAUAAGUAUACAUCAUCUAUUUUGAGUCGUCAAAUACAUGGUACAAAAUACAAAUACAAACUUAAUUAUAGAACAUGAGCUGAGAGUUUUUACACGAAUAUUGUCUUCUAGACAAUAUCUAAACUCAAAUGGAGUCCUCAUUAUAAUUAUUAUCACAUUAUUUCAUAGAAUAGUGAGUACUACUACAACACCAUCUCAAAUCAUUACUCCGUUCCCCGACAAGUCCCGGCUACGUUUUCAUUUCCUGAAGAGAACAAUGAAAGCAAAAGGGUGAGCUCAACUAGCCAGUAAGAAAUAUUAUGACUAAGUUAAUACAGAAUAAAUUAUCGUUAGCCUUCAACAGUGUUAAGCUGAUAAAAUACAAUAAACAUCAAGUUUAACUGCAGCGGAACAAGCAAUCCAUUAGAAGAGUAAAGUAGAGCAUGAUAUCUACUAUCUUCUAUGAUUUAAAAAGGUUAUCAUCAAUUUUAUCGUUGAGACUCAGCUUAAUAAAUAAUCCACAUCACUAAAUUAUCCAUGCACUACGGGCCAAUGAGGACUUUUACCACAUUAUAUGUAACAUUACGGUCAUGAUUAUACUGAAUAAUCCCUGGUCAUAAUCAUACUAAUCAACAGUACAUCUAUGCACUACGACCAAAGAUGACUUUCAUCACAAUAUAAGCAUGAGGAUGAUGACAAUGAUACAAGAAUUCAAUUAAAUAAAAGCAAAGAUAAAUUUUAAAGAUUUAUAAUUUAAUUUAUCCAGAAUUCAAUAGCGCCCAAAUUGUCAACAUGAUACUGCUUUGUGGAGUAAAUUAUUAUAUCAAAAAUAAUUUGGACAGAGAAGAAAUUAAUUUUUGUCAUGAAUAGUACCUGAGUGAAUAGUACCCCAUGAAUAGUACUUUAUAAAUAGUACUUCGGAAAUAGUACUUUAUGAAUAGUACCCCGUGAAUAGUAUUUUGUGAAUAGUACCUCGUGAAUAGUACUUUGUGAAUAGUGCCCUAUGAAUAGUACUUUGUGAAUAGUACCCCGUGAACAAUACUCCAACAUGAAAAGAUUAAAAAUUAUCAAAAAUGUUCAGAAAAAUAUCCUUCUGAAAUGAUACUAGAUGAAGCGCAAAUUUCAAGGAUAUUCUACUAAUUUCACGGAAUAUAGAAUCAAUACUUUAACAAAAUGAGUGUAGAAGUAGGUGUAAGACCCCAAAUUUUAUAAAUAAAAUUGAAUUUCCUCUAUUUAUUAUUUUGAAAUAAUAAGGUGUUAAUUUGAUAUAAUACUUUGGUUAUGGGUGAAAUGAACAAAUUUUGCAAAAUAAGCAAGUAGUUAUAAAAUAUUCAUUGUUGUCGGGGAAUAUUCGUUUGGUCGUGAAAUAUUCUUGUUGUCACGAAAUAUUCGUACGACGGCGCAGCCAUUUGUGGGCCCUAUAACGUAAAACGUUCAGAUGAAGACAAAUGAAUAUUUGGUUCAAGAUGUAUAUUGAUUGAUGUUUCAGGGAUAAAAUAUUGAUGAUGGACUUUAAAAUCAUAGAAGACAUUAGAUUUUAUUCUCUACUAAACUCUUCUAAUGAAUUGUUAUUUUCGCUGUGAAUAUUGAUCUAAAACUUGUUGUCCAUUAUAUUUUAUCUGAUUUGUUGAAGGCUAACGAUAAUUGUUGUUCAUUAUCUUAGUCAUAAUAUUCUUUACUGGGCUAGUUGAGCUCACCCUUUUCCUUUUUGUUCCAUUUUUUUCUCAGGAGGCGAGAAUAUAACGGGAACUAGUCGGGGUAUGGAAUGAUGGUUCUAGACAGUUAUUUUAGCAGUUCUCACUAUUUUUGUAAAAUAGUGUAUCAAUAAUUAUAAUGAGGACUUAUUUGAGUGUGGAUAUUGUCUAGAAGACAAUAUUUGUAUUUAAACUCACAGUAUAUGUGUUAUCAUAUUUUGCACGACAAUUGUAAUAAUAAAGUUGUAGUUGUUUUCUGUACCAUGUUUUUGGCGACCAAAGAUGGGUGAUGUAUACCUAUUUUGGGGGCGUCACAGUUGGUAUUAGAGCUUAGGGAUAUGGUCUCUGGCGGAGAUAGAACUAGGAGGGGAGAGACGAGUAAAUCCUUCGCUAGUGUGUCCUACCUAAGCUUAUUUGUUGGUUGGUCAGAAUAUAGGGGUAUUAUGUGGUAUGUUAUUUUCUUUAAUUAACCCUUGUUUUGUGGCAAUAUUUGAGAAUGGUAGCUGGAAAUGUUAACAACGGAGUAAAUGAGACCGUGGAGACACCUUUAAUCACCAACCAGGAGAACGUGCAACAGGACGACAAUGUUCCUCUUGUAAACAACACCACCGAUCAAAUGAUGAAUGAUGGAUGUUUAGAAGCUUUUUUGCAGUUCAUGCAAAAUCAGACGAGGGAGACUCGUGAACAAAAUACGGGUGAAAAUGAUAGCAACGCGCGGCUUGUCACAGCCAAGUAGUUCAAAGAGUUGGGACCACAAGAGUUUUUGGGAAAGCCAAAUCCGAUUAAGGCAAAAACGUGGGUUAAGAAAAUUUCAAGAUAUUUGAUGUCUUGGGAUUCAUAGAGGAAUAGAAGGUUCUAUUCUCCACCUUUAUGUUCCGUGGUUAGGCAGAUUACUGGUGGGAAUCUGUGAAGCAUACCCAGCCAGCCGCACUCAAUAUAUCUUGGGAAAUAUUUUAGAAACUGUUUAAUGACAAGUACUUUCCUGAAAGUAUUCGUCAUAUGAAGGAGGUAGAGUUUAUUAGACUGGAACAGAACAACAUGACUGUGUCCCAGUACGAGGCUAAUUUUGCGGAGUUAUCCAGGAUUGCACCUCAUUUGGUAGAGAAUGAGGAACGUAUGACGCGGAUGUUUUUAAGAGGGUUGAAACCCAAAAUUUAUCAGUACCUUAUUUCUCACAAAUUUUCUCUAUAUUCAGAUGUUGUUAACAAGGCUCAAUUAUUAGAGUGAGAUAAUGAGUAUGUUCAACCGAGGGCAGCAGUCAUCAGAGCAAUGAUAACCAGCGGGAAGGAAAAAAUACGGACAAAAGCGAUAACCACUCUGGUGGUAAUCAUGGCCAUGAUAGUAGAAGAAGCGAGUCGAGGGGAGAUUUCAAAAAGAGAAGGUACAACAAUGACAAUGUGAAGACGUCAGCAUCAACAUCAACUGUUUCUAGGGGAGGAGAACGACCACCGGUCGUAUGUUAUAAAUGCUGGAAAGAGGGACACAUCAGCCCAAACUGCCCACAACAAUUCAAGGUAUGUUAUAACUGUGGAAAGGAAGGUCAUAUAGCUCGAGAUUGUUCUAUAGAAAAACCAAGUCCAGCGAGGAUGGUGAUUCCAAAGGCUGUCCCGGACAAGUAAAAGUCAACGGUUCCUGAAAGAACGUUUGUCGUGACUGGCCAAAACGCGAGGAGCCCAAACGAGGUGAUCACGGGUAAGCUAAUUAUAAACUCUUGCGAAGUUAAUACCUUAUUAGAUACCAUUUCUACCCAUUCUUUUAUCUCUCUUUCUUGUGCUCAACGUUUGAACUUAACUCCGGAGAAAUUAGACUUUGACUUAUCUAUUGAGACUCCGUUAGGAGAAACUUUCAUUACACUCACUGUUUAUAAAUCUUUCUUGAUCCAAGUUAGCAUAAUCACAUUACCUGUUGAUCUUAUCUCUUUAAAGAUACUUGCAUUUGAUGUGAUUUUAGGAUUGAUUGGUUAAGAUCUCAUCAUGCUAAAAUUGAUUAUUUUCGUAAGGUUGUUAGUUUUCAUAUUCCUAACCAACCUGUUAUGCCAAUUCAAGCGACCAAACUGCUAAAUUUAAUCACUGUCAUAUCAAGCCAUAAAUCCAUUCGUUUAUUAAAAAAUGGAUGUCAAGCUUUCUUAGCCCAUGUCAUGGACUUGAACAAAAACACGUCAGAUUUGAAUAAUAUUUCUGUUGUUAGUGAAUUUCUUGACGUAUUUCCUGAAGAACUUCCUGGUCUACCCCCAGAACGUGAAGUUGAAUUCUUUAUUGACCUUGAACCUGGUACAAAACCCAUUUCUAAAACCCCAUAUAGAAUGGCUCCUAUUGAAUUUCAGGAGUUAAAGGUCUAACUACAGGAGUUGUUAGACAUCGGUUUCAUUCGUCCUAAUACAUCUCCUUGGGGUGCUUCUGUUUUAUUCAUAAAGAAGAAAGACGAGAGUAUGCGACUUUGUAUUGAUUACCGGGAAUUGAACCAUGUCACCAUCAAUAAUAGGUAUCCGCUAUCUCGCAUUGAUGACCUAUUCGACCAGUUGCAAGGAGCACAAUUCUUUUCAAAGAUCGAUCUUCGUUCUGGAUAUCAUCAGCUGAAGAUUAAAACUGAGGAUAUUCCGAAGACUGCCUUCAGAACUCGGUACGGGCAUUAUAAAUUCUUAGUCAUGUCUUUUGGAUUAACUAAUGCUUCUGCUGCUUUCAUGGAUAUGAUGAACCGUGUGUUCAAGGAAUAUUUGGAUUAGUUCGUUGUUAUCUUUAUUGAUGAUAUCCUCAUCUAUUCCAAAAGCCGUAAAGAUCAUGAGCACCAUUUGAAGCUGGUACUUCAAAGGUUUUGUGAAAAUAAGCUAUAUGCCAAGCUGAAGAAAUGCAACUUUUGGUUUGAGGAAGUAGCAUUCCUUGGGCAUGUGGUGUCAAAACAUGGAGUAUCUGUUGACCCGACGAAGAUUGAAGCAAUACAAAGUUGGGAACAACCGAAGUCGGUGACCGAAGUACGUAGCUUUCUGGGCUUAGCCGGUUAUUAUCUUAGAUUUAUGGAAGGAUUUUCUCGAAUUGCUACUCCGUUAACUCAGCUGACUCAGAAAGAUACAAAAUUCGUAUGGAGUGAGGAAUGCGAGAAGAGUUUCCAAGAGCUCAAGAGGAGACUCAUUUCGGCACUUGUUCUAUAAAUACCAUCUAGUUCGGAUGGAUUUGUUAUCUACAGUGAUGCUUCAGGCAAAGGGUUAGGAUGUAUUCUCAUGCAACAUGGGAAAGUUACAGCCUAUGCCUCGCAACAACUCAAAGAAUAUGAGAGGAAUUAUCCUACUCAUGAUCUGGAGUUGGCAGCAAUCGUUUUCUAGUUGAAAAUUUGGAGACACUACUUGUAUGGGGAGAAAGUGGAGAUUUAUACGGAUCAUAAAAACCUCAAAUAUUUUUUCACCCAAAAGGAACUCAACAUGCGACAACGACGUUGGCUCGAGCUAUUGAAAGAUUAUGACCAUACCAUUCAAUAUCAUCCUGGAAAAGUAAACGUGGUAGCUGACGUAUUGAGUAAAAGAUCGUUUACGGGUACGAGUGCGAUGUUUUUAACACAAAGACCCAUUUUGUAAGACUUACAAAGGAUGGGGAUAGAGUUAAAGGCUCCAAGUGCCCAUAUGAUGAUAUCAAACAUAUGAGUAGAACUGACUUUAAUCGAUAAAGUUAAAGCUGCUUAAGCCACAGACCCAGAGUUGAUGCUUAUGAAGAAGAAAGUACAAGAAGGUGUUAUUCUAGAAGCAAUAAUCGAUGAAGAAAGAAUACUUUGAGUCAACUCCAGACUUUUCAUUCUUAACGAUUCUGACUUAAAGCAUAGAAUCAUGAUGGAGGCACACAACACACCAUUUUCAAUCCAUCGUGGGAGUACCAAAAUGUAUCAUGAUCUUCGAUAUACAUUUUGGUGGAACAAUAUGAAGAGAGAUAUCGCGGAGUUUAUCUCGAGGUGUUUAACUUGUCAACAUGUAAAGGCGGAGCAUCAAGUGUCAAAGGGUCCAUUGCAACCACUUGAGAUUCUGAAAUAGAAGUGGGAACACAUUACCAUGGAUUUCGUAAUGGAUCUUCCCAAGGUUUCUCAAGGCAUAAAUGUGAUUUGGGUUAUUGUUGAUAGAUUAACCAAGUCUGCUCAUUUCUUGCCGAUACGGGAGACUUAUUCCCUUGAACGUCUUGCUCGUAUGUACGAGAAUGAGAUUGUGAGAUUGCAUGGCAUGACAGUAUCCAUAGUUUCGGAUCGUGACCCAAGAUUCACUUCAAGAUUUUGGGUUAGCUUGUAGAAAGCUAUGGGCACGGAUUUACGAUUCAGUUUGGCAUACCAUCCUCAAACGGACGGGCAAUCGGAAAGGACUAUUCAAACUCUUGAAGAUCUAUUAAGACUCUGUGUCCUAGAUUUAAAAGGAAGUUGGGAUAAAUACUUGUCAUUAGUGGAAUUCUCCUACAACAACAGUUAUCAAACAAGUAUAGACAUGGCUCCAUUUGAGGUGUUGUACGGACGAAAGUGUCGUUCUCCAGUAUGCUAGGACGAGGUGGGUGAAGCAAGGUUGUUGGGACCAGAAUUGGUACGCAUGACUACAGAAAAGAUCCAAACGAUUCGACAACGUAUACAAAUGACACAGGAUCGACAAAAGAGUUAUGCGGAUCUUCAUCGAAAGGACGUUGAAUUUAAUAUUAGGGAUCAUGUAUUGUUAUGUAUUGCUCCAUGGAAGGAAGUUACAAGAUUUGGGAAGAGAAGAAAGCUCAAUCCAUGAUUUGUUGGUCCAUUUGAGAUUCUUGACCGAAUAAGAAAUGUGGCCUAUAGACUCGUAUUACCUCCAAGCAUGUCUCGUGUUUAUAAUGUUUUUCACAUAUCUAUGCUUCAUAAAUAUGUGAAAGACCCAAACCACAUUAUUGAGUUAGAACCAGACGAGAUAGCCGAAGAUUUAACGUACGAGGAGGUACCUGUCAAGAUCUUAGAUAGGAAAGAGCAUGUCUUACGCACAAAGAUUAUACCAAAAGUCAAAGUUUUAUGGAGGAACCAUGCUAUUGAGGAAAUGACUUGGGAGUUGGAAUCAGAAAUGAAAGUGAGGUAACCUCACCUUUUCGAAACACCAGGUACAUACGUCAAUUUCGAGGACAAAAUUUUAUAAUGAGGGGAGGUUGUAAGACCCCAACUUUUAUAAAUAAAAUUGAAUUUUCUCUUUUCAUUAUUUUGAAAUAAUAAGGUGUUAAUUUGAUAUAAUUCUUUGGUUAUGAGUAAAAUGUGCAAAUUUUGUAAAAUAAGCAAGUGGUUAUAAAAUAUUCAUUGUUGUCGGGGAAUAUUCGUUUGGUUGUAGAAUAUUCUUGUUGUCGGGGAAUAUUCGUACGACGAUGAAUCCAUUUGUGGGCCCCAUAAUGGAAAACAGUCGGAUGAAGAAAACAACAAAUUUGAGUUUUUAUAAAUAAUGGCGUAGUUGUUACCAUUAACACUGUUGGAAUACCUGAUGGUUAAAGUACAGUAAUACGCGUGGUUGCACAGUAGCACACGGUAUUGCACAGUAUUUUUGGAUUAUUGAUUCUUACAUAAGAAGGCACUACUCAAUAAUUUUUACAGUAAUUACUGUUCAAUAUUUUAUUUUAUUGAUUCAUUAAUUAUUAAGUUGAUAUUUUAUAUUAUUGUUAAUUCAAUAAUUGUCACUGCAUAGUAUUUCCCAUUAUCAUAUCAAUAAUUUAUAUUAUUUGAAUAAUAUUAUUAGAUUUUAUUAUUGGCAAUGUCUAAGAAGUUCUAUCUAGGAAAGGGGUUUGGUCACCUAAUUGCGCGCCAGUAAGGAGAAAUCCUUAUCGGAAAGCCCCCUUCUUUCCUGGGAACGACCUGAUUGUCAUAAUUGUGAUUCUGUAAUAUUAUUUGUGAAUAAUUAAUUAUUGAUUUAUAUGAUAAGAAAAUAUUUAUUUUAUGUGGAUAUAAAUGAAGGAAUUAAUGCUGAGGUGUUUUAUCAGUAUUUUGUCAGAAUGAAGGUAUUAAAAAUCGUCCGUAUGUAAAUUUUGGUCAUUUUCUGCUUGGAAUUUGGAAAAAUUUUAUCCUACAAAGUUGUAGAGAAUUACAUUUCCUAUGGAAUGGACAUAAAAUUCGUAUUUUUCUAUGAAAAGGGCAAUUUAUUAUGAAUUAUUGAAGUUUUGGAAAUAAAUGUUUUUUAAUUAAAAAUAUGGGUGGGCCCUACUUUUGGUUGGUAUGAAAAUUCUGAAUUUGGUGGGCCCCACUGUGGUGUGCUGAUAUUUGAUCAAUUGUGGCGUGCGUGAAAAUUUUUGAUAAAAUAUUAUUUUAUUAAUUUAGUCUGCUUUGGCAUUCUAGCAUUUUCCUAUAACUAGGAUUCUUAGUUAGAAUUGAAAAUCACACCAGAAUCAGAAGUUUUCUUUCUCUAUAAUAUCGAGAGUAUUUUUGUGAGUAUUUAGAUACUUUGAGAGUUGCUAUUCAGUGCAAGUUCCUUCAGCAUUAUAUCUGAUAUUUCAGCUAGAAGUGCUAUUCUUUUGAGGUAAGGGAUAUUAUUUUCUUCGUAAAUGAUGUUAUUUCUUUCAAUAUCAUUAUACUGAAAUAUUAGUAUGAAUUUUAUUAUGAAAUUUUUACCUUUUCAUGUUGAGGUUACUAUUCACGAAUACGACACUAUUCACGUAUACGACAUUAUUUACAAAUACGAUACUAUUCACCAAAAAAUGAAAUUUUUUCUUCUUUGUCCCAGAUGGCUAUUAUGGUUACUAUCUUUGAUUGUAUCCAUGUUUUGAUCUUUAUUAUUGAAUUUUUCUCCACUAUGGUUUAUUAUGGAGUAUUUUUGAAUUUGGAUUAUCUAAAGUACGAAUCCCUAAUCUUUGUCCGUUAUUCUCAAUGGAUUCGUUCUUUAAAAUAUUUUUCAUCAUCCUCAGUCUUUAAUGGUGAUACUUGAUGAAUAUCUUUGGCCUGUAGUACAAAGAUGAAUGAUUACCUAAUGAAUAUAUUUGACCCAUAGUGCAAAGAUGGACAGGUGUUGAGAUGAACAUGACCAACUGUUGAUACAAAUGAAUAUCUUUGGCCCGUAAAACAAAGAUGAAUAUUUGGUUCAAGAUGUAUAUUGAUUGAUGUUACAGGGAUAAAAUAUUGAUGAUAAACUUUUAAAUCAUAGAAGACAUUAGAUUUUAUUCUCUACUAAACUCUUCUAAUGAAUUGUUAUUUCCGCUGCGAAUAUUGAUCUAAAACUUAUUGUCCAUUAUAUUUUAUCUGAUUUAUUGAAGGCUAACAAUAAUUUAUUGUUCAUUAUCUUAGUCAUAAUAUUCUUUACCGGGCUAGUUGAGCUCACUAUUUUCCUUUUUGUUUCAUUUUUCUUCUCAGGAGGCGAGAAUAUAGCGGGAACUAGUCGGGGUAUAGAAUGAUGGUUCUAGACAGUUGUUUUAGCAUUCCUCACUAUUUUUGUAAAAUAGUGAAUCAAUAAUUAUAAUGAGGACUUAUUUGAGUGUGGAUAUUAUCUAGAAGACAAUAUUUUUAUUUAAACUCACAGUAUAUAUGUUAUCGUAUUUUGCACGACAAUUGUAAUAAUAAAGUUGUAGUUAUUUUCUAUACCAUAUUUUUGACGAUCCAAGAUGGGUGAUGUAUACCUAUUUUGGGGGCGUCACAGUAGGAAUACAAACCAAAUAAUAUUACUUACAUACUACAGAGUAUGGAAAAAAUAUUAUUUCAUACGAGUAUUGAACAAAAAUAUUAUCCCUUACCUUAGAAGAAGACUGUAUACUAGAAUAAUGAAGUAGCAGAAUACUCUUCUUCUUUCUCUCUAUAGUUUCUCUCUUUAUAAUUUCUCUUGUGAGUCUUAAUGAAUUGGUGAGAAUGAAAGAAGAAUGAGCUUCUAUUUAUAGGAAAACAUAGUUUCGAUAAUUGCACGUUUUGGGGCUCGAAUUAUUAUAGUAUAUUAUUACCUUCAUCUUUUCCUCCAUUUUAAAUUUAGUCCUACAAGUAUUAUCAAACUUGCACCACCUCCCCUAAUAGUACAUGAAUGUGAAUCAAUACUUCCAUUCAUGUGAAUAAAUAGUUAUAUGCAUGUAAACUAAUAGCAAUUAAUUGCUCAUUUAUCCGAUUAAUUACCCGAUUGGUCAAUUUAACCUCCAGAAAUCAAUUAUUAUCGAAAUAAAUGUUGAUUUCCACUAACACUAAUAAUCCCAACACAAUGGAAAUAUCAAUUUUAUCUUUAAUCAACGCAAACUUAUUCAUCUUUAAUAUUAUAACUCAUAGUAUCUAACAACCAGAUCAUUCCCAGGAAAGAGGGGGCUUUCCGAUAAAGAUUUCUCCCUAUUGGCGCACAAUUAGGUGACAAAACCCUUUUCCUCGACAGAACUUUCUAGACAUCGUCAAUAAUGCAAAUAAUAAUAUGAAUAACUUUUAUAUCUCAAUUAUUGAUUUAAUAAUAUAAAAUAUUAUGCAGAUGAUACUGUGACAAUAAUUGAAUCAAUAAUAUGAGAGAUAUUAUGCAGUAAUUAUUGUAGCAAUAAUUGAGUAUAACUGAGUGACUUCUCACGUAAGCAUUAAUAAUCAAAGAUAUUGUACAAUACCGUAUGCUACUAUGCAACCACGCGUAUUACUGUAAUUUUACCACCAGGUAUUUCAACAGUUAACGGUAAAAUUUUCGUCGUUAAUUUUAUAAAAAUAUAUUUCUGUCAUUUUCUAACUCCGACAAUACAUCCAUUAUAAGACCACAACUUUUAUAAAUAAAAUUGAAUUUCCUCUAUUCAUUAUUUUAAAAAAAUAAGAUGUUAAUUUGAUAUAAUGCUUUGGUUAUGGGUGAAAUGUGCAAAAAUUUCAAAAUAAGCAAGUGGUUAUAAAAUAUUCAUUGUUGUCGGGGAAUAUUCGUUUGGUCAUGGAAUAUUCUUGUUGUCGGGGAAUAUUCGUUUGGUCAUGGAAUAUUCUUGUUGUCGGGGAAUAUUCGUACAACGGCGCAGCCAUUUGUGGGCCCCAUAACACAAAAACGGUCGGAUGAAGAAAAUGACAAGUUUGAGUUUUUAUAAAUUACGGGGUAGUUGUUACCGUUAACACUGUUGGAAUACCUGAUGGUUAAAGUACAGUAAUACGCGUGGUUGCACAGUAGCACAUGGUAUUGCACAGUAUUUUUGGAUUAUUGAUUCUUACGUAAGAAGGCACUACUCAAUAAUUGUUACAUUAAUCAUUGUUCAAUAUUUUAUUUUAUUGAUUCAAUAAUUGCUGCGUUGAUAUUUUAUAUUAUUGUUGUUUCAAUAAUUACCACUGCACAAUAUUUCCCAUUAUCAGAUCAAUAAUUCAUAUUAUUUGAAUAAUAUUAUUAGAUAACCUUAUUGGCAAUGUCUAAGGAAGUUCUGUCUAGAAAAGGGAUUUGGUCACCUAAUUGCGCGCCAGUAAGGAGAAAUCCUUAUCGGAAACCCCCUCUUUUCUGGAAACGACCUGGUUGUCAUUAUUGUGAUUCUGUAAUAUUAUUUGUGAAUAAUUAAUUAUUGAUUUAUAUGAUAAGGAAAUAUUUAUUUUAUGUGGUUAUAAAUGAAGGAAUUAAUGUUGAGGUAUUUUAUCAGUAUUUUGUCAGAAUGGAGGUAUUAACAAUCAUCUGUAUGUGGAUUUCAGUCAUUUUCUGUUUAGAAUUUGAAAAAACUUUCUUCUACAAAGUUGUAGAGAAUUAAAUUUCUUAUGGAAUGGACAUAAAAUUUAUAUUUUUCUGAUAAAGGGCUAUUUAUUAUGAAUUAAGUGGAAUGAAGAUAUCAAAUUGAUUUAGUUUUCGAAUUAAAUUUGAAUUCUUUUAUUUUUUUUUUCAAAAAACAUAUGUUAAUGGUGGGUGAGCAAAGGUUGGCUUUAAAAAGUCUUGUUUCAAAGUAGGUGGGCUACAAAUAAUGUGCGUAUGUAAAUUUUAUCAGUAAUGGUGGGCUGACAUUUCCCUAUAAAUAGGGUGCUUAGUUAGAAAUGAAAUCACACCAUAAUCAGAAGUUUUAUCUCUAUAAUAUCAAACGUAUUUUUGUGAUUAUUUAGAUAAUUUGAGAGUUGCUAUUCAGUGCAAGUUUUUUUCAACAUUAUAUCUGAUAUUCCAAUCAGAAGUACUGUUCUUUUGAGGUAAGGGAUUUUUUUUUUUUUUCAUAAAUGAUAUUAUUUCUUUCAAUAUCAUUAUACCAAAAUAUUGGUAUGAAUUCUUGUGGAAAUUUUACCUUUUCAUGUCUAGGCUACUAUUCACGUAUACGACACUAUUUACGUAUACGACACUAUUCACGAAUACGGUACUAUUCACAAGUACUAUUCACGAAGUAUGAUUUUUCUUGUGAAAUUUCUACCUUUUGGUGUCAGGGUUACUAUUCACGUACAACACUAUUCACGUAUACGACACUAUUCACGAAUAUGGCACUAUUUACUGAAAAAAUUAAAAUUUUUUUCUUUGUCCAAGUUGUCUAUUAUGGUUACUAUCUUUGAUUGUAUCCAUGUUUUGAUCUUCAUUCUUGAAUUUUGCUCCACAAUUAAUUAUUAUGGAGUAUUUUUGAACUUGGAUAAAGUAAAGUACGAAUCCCUAAUAUUUGAUCUUUUAUCUCACUGGAUUCGUUUUCUUUAAGAUAUUUUUCAUCAUCCUCAGUCCUAAAUGGUGAUAUAACUGAAUAUCUUUGGCCUGUAGUGCAUAGAUGAAUGAUUACCUGAUGAAUAUUUUUGGCGCGUAUUGCAAAGAUGGACAGGUGUUGAGAUGAACAUGACCAACUGAUGAAUAUCUUUGGCCUGUAGUGCAAAGAUGAAUAUUUGAUUCAAGAUGUAUAUUGUGACGCCCCCAAAAUAGGUAUACAUCACCUAUCUUGAGUCGCCAGAUACAUGGUACAUAAAUCAAAUACAAACUUAAUUAUACAACAGUCGUGUAAAAUACGACAAAACAUAGCUGAGAGUUUAAACAAGAAUAUUGUCAUCUAGAUAAUAUCCAUACUCAAUGGUGUCCUCAUUGCAAUUAUUAUCACAUUAUUCUGUAGAAUAGUGAAGACUACUAAAGCCAUUUAUCCUGGACCAUCACUCCAUUCCCCGACUCGUCCCAGCUAUAUUCUCAUUUCCUGAAGAGAACAAUGAAAGAAAGGGUGAGCUCAACUAGCCCAGUAAGAAAUAUUAUGACUAAGAUAAUGCAGAAUAAAUUAUCCUUAGCCUUCAACAGUAUAACAACUGAUAGAAUACAAUAGACAACAAGUUUUAGAUCAACAACUGCAGCGGAAAUAAGCAAUCCAUUAGAAGAGUCAAGUAGAGCAUAAAAUCUACUAUCUUCUAUGAUUUAAAAAGUUUUUCAUCAACUUUAUCGCUGAGACUCAGCUUAAUAAAUAAAAUCGAAUCAUCCCUGCACCACGGCCAAGGAUAUUCAUGUAAUCAUCAAUGGUCAUGAUUAUACCGAAUAAUCCCUGGUCAUAAUCAUACCAACAACUGUCCAUCAAUGAACUACAGGCCAAUGAGGACUUUUACCACAUCAUUCGUCACAUUACGGUCAUGAUUAUACCGAAUAAUCCCUGGUCAUAAUCAUACCAAGUCCAUCUAUGCACGUAAGCCAAAGAUGACUUUCAUCACAAUAUAAGCAUGAGGAUGAUGACAAUGACAUAAUAAUUCAAUAAAACAAGUUCAAGGAUAAAUUUUAAAGAUUUAUAAUUUAAUUUAUCCAGAAAUCAAUAACGCCCAAAUUGUCAACAUGAUACUGCUUUGUAGAGUAAAAUUCAAGAAUAAUAUUCAUGUACAAAAAAUAAUUUGGACAGAAAAGAAAUAUAUUUUUCGGGUGAAUAGUAUCCCGUGAAUAAUACUUUGGGAAUAGUACCUCAUGAAUAGUACCUCGACACGAAAAGUGUCCCGAAUACCCGAGUGAAUGAUACUAGAGUGAAUAGUAAUUGGGUUAAUAGUAACCCGCGUGAAUAGUAACUCGUGAAUAGUACUCCGGCACGAAAAGUACCUCGAAUAUCCGAGUGAAUAAUACCAGAGUUAAUAAUAACUGGGUGAAUAGUAACCCGUGAAUAGUAACUCAUAAAAAAAAUACCAAAGAAAAUGAUAUUCCAUGACGAGUACAAAAGAAAUGAUAUCUCAGACGAGUAUAAUAGAAUAUACGAAACUGCAAAUGGAUUUUCACCCGCCAUGCGGUAAUCCACGUAGACAGAUCAUUUCCACAAUUUAAUAAAGAAUGAAUACAAAGGAUCAUUCACUAUGCAUGCGGUAAUCCACAUAGAUAGAUUAUUCCAACAGAAUAAUAAAGAAUGGAAUAACAAAAGAAUUCACCAGGCAUGCGAUAGACCACACAGAUAGGUUAUUCCCAACAGAAUAAUAAAGAAUGGAACCAGGUCAUGCGUAAUCCGCACAGACAGGAUAUUCCAACAGAAUAAUAAAAAAUAGAAUAACAAUAGAAUUCACCAGGCAUGCGAUAGACCGCACAGACAGGUUAUUCCAACAGAAUAAUAAAGAAUAGAAUAACAGAAGAAUUACACCAUGUAUGUGGUACUUCGUAUAGACAGAUUAUUCCAACAACAUAAUAAAGAAUGGAAUAACAACCCUUAUGAGUAUUGGAAGAAAAUAACUCUCUUCAUGAAUACGAAAGAAUAAUACCCCUUACCUCAAAAGAAGACUGGAUACUGGAAUAGUGAGGUAGCAGACUUCUCUUCUUCUUUCUCUCUAUAAUUUCUCUCUAUAAUAAUUGCUCUAUAACUUUAGUGAAUUUGUUAGAAAUAAUGAAGGAAUGAGCUUCUAUUUAUAGGAAAAUAUAGUUUCGAUAAUUGCAUAUUUUGGGGCUCGAAAUAUUACAGUAUAAUACCUUCCUCUUUUUCUUCAUUUUUAAUUUAGUCCUGCAAGUAUUAUCAAACAUGCACCACCUCUCCUAAUAGUAAAUCAUGUGAAUCAAUAGUAAAGGAUGUGACUCAAUAGUUCUAUACAUGUGAAAAAAUGAAUUACAGUAUAAUACCUCCAUCUAUACCUCCAUUUUUAACUUAGUCAUGCAAGUAUUAUCAAUCUUGCAUCAACUCCCCUAAUAGUAAAUGGAUUUGAAUAAAUAGUACACACAUGUGAAUAAAUAGUUAUAAUCAUGUUAAUCAAUAGCAAUUAAUUGCUCAUUUAUCUGGUUAAUUACCCGAUUGGUCAAUAUAACCUCCAGACAUCAAUUAUUAUCGAAAUAAAUGUCGAUUUUCACUAACACUAAUAAUUCCAACACAAUGGAACUAUCAAUUUUAUCUUUAAUCAACACGAACUUAUUCAUCAUUAAUAUUAUAAUUCACAAUAUUUAACAACCAGGUCGUUCUUAGGAAAGAGGGGACUUUCCAAUAAGGAUUUCUCCUUAUUGGCGCGCAAUUAGGUGACCAAACCUCUCCUUGACAGAACUUCUAGACAUUGUCAAUAUUGUAAAUAAUAAUAUGAAUAACUUUGUCAUCUCAAUUAUUAAUUUAAUAAUAUAACAUAUUAUACAAAUGAUACAGUGACAAUAAUUGAAUCAUUAAUAUGAGAGAUAUUAUGCAACAAUUACUGUAGCAAUAAUUGAGUAUAACUGAGUGACUUUUCACGUAAGCAUCAAUAAUCCAUACCGUGUGCUACUAUGCAACCACGCGUAUUACUGUACUUUUACUAUCGGGUAGUUCAACAGUUUGACGGUAAAACUUUCAUCGUUAUUUUUAUAAAAAGAUAAUUCUGUCAUUUUCUAACUACGACAAUACUUCCGUUGUGGGGUCCACCAAUGAUUGUGCCGUCGUACGGAUAUUCCCCGACAAAAAGAAUAUUCCCCAACCAAUCGAAUAUUAUAUAACAACUUGCAUACUUUGAAAAAUUUAUAAAUAUUACCAACAACUCUAACAUUAUAUCAAAUCCACACCAUAAUAUUCAAAAAAAUAUUUUGAGAAAUUUAAAUCUUUAUUCAUAAAAUUUGGGGUCUCAUAAUCUCCCCUCCUUAUGAAAUUUCGCCCUCAAAAAUUACGUACGUACCUGGUAUGCCGAUGAGGUGAGGAUACCUUGACUUCAUUUCAUAUUCCAACUCUUGAGGUAUAACCUUUGAGUGUUGAAUAUGAUCCUUCUUAUCCAAGAUUUUAACAAGUAUCUCAUUAUACGUUAAAUCCUCUGCUAUAUCGUCUAGUUUUAAUUUAAUAAUGUUGUUCGGGUCGUCCACAUAUUUACGUAACAUUGAUACGUGAAAAACGUUAUGAACACGCAACAUACUUGACGGUAAAACGAGUCUAUAGGCCACAGUUCCUACUCGAUCGAGGAUUUCAAAUGAGCCAAUAAAAUUGAGGGUUGAUAUUUCCUCUUUUCAUUGACUCUUGCGUCUAGAAUAACGCCUUCUUGAACCUUCUUCUUUAUUUUCAUCAGCUCCAGGUGUGUAGUUUGAGCGGCUUUAACUUUAUCGAUUAAAGUCGAUUCUACUCGUAUAUUCGUUAUCUUCACGUGGGUCCCUAGAGUCUUUAACUCUAUCUUCAUCAUUUGUAAGUUAUACGAAAUGGGUUUUUGUGUUAACAACAUCGCACUCGUAAACGCAUACGAUCUUCUACUCAACGCGUCAGCUACCACGUUCGCUCUUCCACGAUGAUAUUGAAUGGUAUAGUCGUAAUCUUCAACAGCUCGAGCCAACGUCCUUGGCGCAUGAUACGUUUAUUUUAGUUGAAGAAAUAUUUGAGGGUUUUAGAAAUGGGUUUUGUAUUGGGGUCAAUACAAAAUUCGAUUUCACGCUUUGGGGGUAGACCAAGAAGUCUUCAAGAAUACGUCAGGAAAUUUAUUACCUAUAGAAAUAUCAUUCAAAACUGUGACUCUCAUCCAAGACUUGGAUAGCACAUGAAAUGAAAGUUUCUACUAACGAAGUUUCAACCGAUAAGUCAAAGUCUAAUCUCUCAGGAGUUAAAUUUAAACGUUGAGCGCAAGAAAGAGAGAUAAAAUAAUGGGUGGAACCGAUAUCUAAUAAGGUAUAGACUUUGCAAGAAUUUAUAAUUAAAUAACCCAUGCUAACUUCGUUCGGGUUACUCGCUUUUUGAGAAGUCACGAAAAACACUCUUCUUAAAACUACUGACUUUGUUUUGUCCGUAUCCGCCUUUGGUGCCACCGUCCCCAGCUGAACUUGACUUUGGUGCAUGACAAAAUCGGGAUAGGUGACCUUCUUUUCCACAAUUAUAACAUGCUUUGGACUGCAUCACGCAGUUUAGACUGAUAUGUCCCUCCCGUCCGCAUUUAAACCAUACAAUUGGUGGUCGUUCUCCUUCCUUGAAAACCGGUGUUGGUGCUGCUGUCUUUCCAUCAUUGUUGAACCUUCUCUUCUUGAAAUUUCCACUCCUAUUAUCUUGGCCAUGGUUACCACCGAAGUGGUUACCAUUCUUGGCAUGAUAAUUUCCCCCACGAUGGUUAUCAUUGUUCCGAUGGCCGUUGCCACCGGUACGAUUAUUAUCGUGUUAUUGGUCGUUGCCUUUUGGUUGUGCUGACUCAUUAUCGCGCUCCAAUAACUAAACCCUAUUCACAACAUCUGAAUAUAAACAAAUUUUGUGAAAAAUGAGGUAUUGACGUAUAUCGGGUUUCAAACCUCUUAGAAACAUCCGCGUCAUUCUCUCCUCAUUCUCAACCAAGUGGGACGUAAACCAAGAAAACUCGGCAAACUUAGCUUCGUACUGCGCCAUGGUCAUGUUGUUUUUCUCAAGCUUGAUGAACUCUACCUCCUUCAUGUGACGAAUACUUUCAGGAAAGUACUUGUCGUUGAAUAUCUCUUGGAACUUCUCCCAAGACAUCUUGAGUGUGGCAGGUUGAGUACGCUUUACAGAUUCCCACCAAUAAUCUGCCUCUUCACGCAAUAUAAAGGUGGCAAAUGGAACCUUUUGCUCCUCGGAGCAUCCCAAGACAUCAAAUAUCUUGGUGAUCUUCAUUAUCCACGUCUCCGCCUUAAGUGAUUCUGGCUUUCCCAAAAACUCCGGCAGUCCCAGCUCCUUGAACUGCUUAGCAGUGACCAGCCGUGGGUUGCCAUUGUUUCCACCCGCAUUUUGAACAAGAGUCUCUCUCGCCUGAUGUUGCAUGAAUUACAUAAAGCCUCUGAACAUCUCAUCGUUCAUCAUCUGAUCGGUGUUGUUAUUUACCUGAGGAUUAUUGUCUUCUUGUUGCACAUUAUCCUGGGUAUUGAUCGUUGGUGACUCAACGGUCUCAUGUGCUUCAUUGCUUAUCUCAAUAUUUUCAGAUGCCAUUCUCAAACACUAUCAAAAAACAAGGGUUAAUUAACAUGUCACAUAUUAUCCCUAUACUCUGACCGACCAAUUAAAUACCAAAUAAACCUAGGUAGGCCAUACUAGCGAAGGAAUUCCCCGUCUCUCCCCUCCUAGUUCUUAUCUCACAUCUCAGCCAGGGAUCAUAUCCCUAAGCUUUGAUACCAACUGUGACGCCCCCAAAAUAGGUAUACAUCACCCAUCUUGAGUCGCCAGAUACAUGGUACAUAAAUCAAAUACAAACUUAAUUAUACAACAGUCGUGUAAAAUACGACAAAACAUAGCUAUGAGUUUAAACAAGAAUAUUGUCAUCUAGACAAUAUCCAUACUCAAUGGUGUCCUCAUUAUAAUUAUUAUCACAUUAUUUCAUAGAAUAGUGAGGACUACUAAAGCCAUUUAUCCUGGACCAUCACUACAUUCCCUGACUCGUCCCAGCUAUAUUCUAAUUUCCUGAAGAGAACAAUGAAAGAAAGGGUGAGCUCAACUAGCCCAGUAAGAAAUAUUAUGACUAAAAUAAUGCAGAAUAAAUUAUCCUUAGCCUUCGACAGUAUAACAACUGAUAGAAUACAAUAGACAACAAGUUUUAGAUCAACAACUGCAGCGAAAAUAAGCAAUCCAUUAGAAGAGUCAAGUAGAGCAUAAAAUCUACUAUCUUCUAUGAUUUAAAAAGNNNNNNNNNNNNNNNNNNNNNNNNNNNNNNNNNNNNNNNNNNNNNNNNNNNNNNNNNNNNNNNNNNNNNNNNNNNNNNNNNNNNNNNNNNNNNNNNNNNNNNNNNNNNNNNNNNNNNNNNNNNNNNNNNNNNNNNNNNNNNNNNNNNNNNNNNNNNNNNNNNNNNNNNNNNNNNNNNNNNNNNNNNNNNNNNNNNNNNNNNNNNNNNNNNNNNNNNNNNNNNNNNNNNNNNNNNNNNNNNNNNNNNNNNNNNNNNNNNNNNNNNNNNNNNNNNNNNNNNNNNNNNNNNNNNNNNNNNNNNNNNNNNNNNNNNNNNNNNNNNNNNNNNNNNNNNNNNNNNNNNNNNNNNNNNNNNNNNNNNNNNNNNNNNNNNNNNNNNNNNNNNNNNNNNNNNNNNNNNNNNNNNNNNNNNNNNNNNNNNNNNNNNNNNNNNNNNNNNNNNNNNNNNNNNNNNNNNNNNNNNNNNNNNNNNNNNNNNNNNNNNNNNNNNNNNNNNNNNNNNNNNNNNNNNNNNNNNNNNNNNNNNNNNNNNNNNNNNNNNNNNNNNNNNNNNNNNNNNNNNNNNNNNNNNNNNNNNNNNNNNNNNNNNNNNNNNNNNNNNNNNNNNNNNNNNNNNNNNNNNNNNNNNNNNNNNNNNNNNNNNNNNNNNNNNNNNNNNNNNNNNNNNNNNNNNNNNNNNNNNNNNNNNNNNNNNNNNNNNNNNNNNNNNNNNNNNNNNNNNNNNNNNNNNNNNNNNNNNNNNNNNNNNNNNNNNNNNNNNNNNNNNNNNNNNNNNNNNNNNNNNNNNNNNNNNNNNNNNNNNNNNNNNNNNNNNNNNNNNNNNNNNNNNNNNNNNNNNNNNNNNNNNNNNNNNNNNNNNNNNNNNNNNNNNNNNNNNNNNNNNNNNNNNNNNNNNNNNNNNNNNNNNNNNNNNNNNNNNNNNNNNNNNNNNNNNNNNNNNNNNNNNNNNNNNNNNNNNNNNNNNNNNNNNNNNNNNNNNNNNNNNNNNNNNNNNNNNNNNNNNNNNNNNNNNNNNNNNNNNNNNNNNNNNNNNNNNNNNNNNNNNNNNNNNNNNNNNNNNNNNNNNNNNNNNNNNNNNNNNNNNNNNNNNNNNNNNNNNNNNNNNNNNNNNNNNNNNNNNNNNNNNNNNNNNNNNNNNNNNNNNNNNNNNNNNNNNNNNNNNNNNNNNNNNNNNNNNNNNNNNNNNNNNNNNNNNNNNNNNNNNNNNNNNNNNNNNNNNNNNNNNNNNNNNNNNNNNNNNNNNNNNNNNNNNNNNNNNNNNNNNNNNNNNNNNNNNNNNNNNNNNNNNNNNNNNNNNNNNNNNNNNNNNNNNNNNNNNNNNNNNNNNNNNNNNNNNNNNNNNNNNNNNNNNNNNNNNNNNNNNNNNNNNNNNNNNNNNNNNNNNNNNNNNNNNNNNNNNNNNNNNNNNNNNNNNNNNNNNNNNNNNNNNNNNNNNNNNNNNNNNNNNNNNNNNNNNNNNNNNNNNNNNNNNNNNNNNNNNNNNNNNNNNNNNNNNNNNNNNNNNNNNNNNNNNNNNNNNNNNNNNNNNNNNNNNNNNNNNNNNNNNNNNNNNNNNNNNNNNNNNNNNNNNNNNNNNNNNNNNNNNNNNNNNNNNNNNNNNNNNNNNNNNNNNNNNNNNNNNNNNNNNNNNNNNNNNNNNNNNNNNNNNNNNNNNNNNNNNNNNNNNNNNNNNNNNNNNNNNNNNNNNNNNNNNNNNNNNNNNNNNNNNNNNNNNNNNNNNNNNNNNNNNNNNNNNNNNNNNNNNNNNNNNNNNNNNNNNNNNNNNNNNNNNNNNNNNNNNNNNNNNNNNNNNNNNNNNNNNNNNNNNNNNNNNNNNNNNNNNNNNNNNNNNNNNNNNNNNNNNNNNNNNNNNNNNNNNNNNNNNNNNNNNNNNNNNNNNNNNNNNNNNNNNNNNNNNNNNNNNNNNNNNNNNNNNNNNNNNNNNNNNNNNNNNNNNNNNNNNNNNNNNNNNNNNNNNNNNNNNNNNNNNNNNNNNNNNNNNNNNNNNNNNNNNNNNNNNNNNNNNNNNNNNNNNNNNNNNNNNNNNNNNNNNNNNNNNNNNNNNNNNNNNNNNNNNNNNNNNNNNNNNNNNNNNNNNNNNNNNNNNNNNNNNNNNNNNNNNNNNNNNNNNNNNNNNNNNNNNNNNNNNNNNNNNNNNNNNNNNNNNNNNNNNNNNNNNNNNNNNNNNNNNNNNNNNNNNNNNNNNNNNNNNNNNNNNNNNNNNNNNNNNNNNNNNNNNNNNNNNNNNNNNNNNNNNNNNNNNNNNNNNNNNNNNNNNNNNNNNNNNNNNNNNNNNNNNNNNNNNNNNNNNNNNNNNNNNNNNNNNNNNNNNNNNNNNNNNNNNNNNNNNNNNNNNNNNNNNNNNNNNNNNNNNNNNNNNNNNNNNNNNNNNNNNNNNNNNNNNNNNNNNNNNNNNNNNNNNNNNNNNNNNNNNNNNNNNNNNNNNNNNNNNNNNNNNNNNNNNNNNNNNNNNNNNNNNNNNNNNNNNNNNNNNNNNNNNNNNNNNNNNNNNNNNNNNNNNNNNNNNNNNNNNNNNNNNNNNNNNNNNNNNNNNNNNNNNNNNNNNNNNNNNNNNNNNNNNNNNNNNNNNNNNNNNNNNNNNNNNNNNNNNNNNNNNNNNNNNNNNNNNNNNNNNNNNNNNNNNNNNNNNNNNNNNNNNNNNNNNNNNNNNNNNNNNNNNNNNNNNNNNNNNNNNNNNNNNNNNNNNNNNNNNNNNNNNNNNNNNNNNNNNNNNNCGCUGCGAAUAUUGAUCUAAAACUUGUUGUCCAUUAUAUUUUAUCUGAUUUAUUUAAGGCUAACGAUAAUUUGUUGUACAUUAUCUUAGUCAUAAUAUUCUUUACUGGGCUAGUUGAGCUCACCCUUUUCCUUUUUGUUCCAUUUUUCUUCUCAGGAGGCGAGAAUAUAGCGGGAACUAGCCAGGGUGUGGAGUGAUGUUUCGAGACAGUUGUUUUAGCAGUCCUCACUAUUUUGUAAAAUAGUGCAUCAAUAAUUGUAAUGAUUACUUAUUUUUGAGUUUGGAUAUAUUCUAGAAGACAAUAUUUGUAUUUAAACUCACAUCAUAUGUGUUGUCGUAUUUUGCAUGACAAUUGUAAUAAUGAAGUUGUAGUUAUUUUCUGUACCAUAUUUUUGGUGACCCAAGAUGGGUGAUGUAUACCUAUUUUGGGGGCGUCACAUCCGUGGUGGGGUCCACCAAUGAUUGUGCCGUCGUACGAAUAUUUCCUGUUAAAACGAAUAUUCCCCGACCAAUCGAAUAUUUUAUAACAACUUUCUUACUUUGCAAAAUUUAUAAAUAUUACCCAUAACUAUAACAUUAUAUCAAACACCAUAAUAUUCAAAAAUAUAUUUCGAGAAAAAUUAAUCUUUAUUCAUAAAAGUUGGGGUCUUACACAAUCUAUAUUAGACUUAAUUAAAGUCCAUAUAUCACACUUAAUUAGACCAAUUAAUUAGCCUAAUUUAUAUAAAUAUUAUUAAUAUUCUUACAAGUUUAUCUAUGUAUUCAUCUAAAUUUAUUUAUUAUUAAUUAAAUUUAUUAAUAAUGUUUAUUUAUAUCUCUUCUUCUUCGAUAAGGGAUCGACAAGCCAUUACUUCUAUAACUACUCAAAGUCAGGGCGGUAGUUAGCUACCAGCAAUAACUUUAUAGGGUAAAAUGCAAAAUUAACCACUGAAGUUUAGCAAUUUUUGGAUAUUGAGUCCCUUUCUUUUGGUCAACAGAAAUUGAGCUCCUUUCUAUUCAAAAAUUUGAAAUUUGAGCCAUCAGGCGCCACGUGAGCGUUGACCUGCUGACAUGAGAAUUUUUCAAUUUUAUCCCAAAAAUAUGUCGCUCCACUAAUUCGAACUCAAAACACCCAGUUUGGAACUUUGAUCAUAUGACCACUGAAGUACCACGAGCUUAACUGUUAAUAUUUCGCAAGGAUUAAUCUUUAUAACAAAACAAUUCAUUUCCCACAAAAAAAUUAAAAGACAAAACAGAUCCUUAAUAUUAGCUAAGUCUCAUUUUGUCCUUUAUAUUGACUGGAACUUAUUGACGGAUCAACCUAAAAAUAGAAUACUGCAAAUCAAGGAUUUAUUGACAUCCCAUAUACAUAACAAGCACAAACACAAGCUCUUUGACAACAGUAAAUUGAUUUGAACUAAAACAAAAAAUAAUACAUUAAUCCCAAAGCUUCUUUAAUUAACCAGUUCUUGAAUAGCUCCCACACUUUGUGAAUCGCAAUUCUCUGAAUCUCUCUCCCUCGACGAAGUCGCCCCCUGUUGAACAAAAGCACGGCCGUUGUAAUUUCGACUGAUGAUGGAUUCUUCCGAUAUAGGCCUUUUCAGACCUAGCCCUCUUGAUCUAUCAAAUGAUCUACGAGAGCUCUCCAUUUACAUAGUAAAAAUUCGAUCAACCAAAAAACAUAAAUCAAAGCCCUAAUUUAAUCCCUACUUUAUUACAUAGUAAAAAAUUGAAAAAGAAAAAACUAGAUUUAUGGUAAUUAAAACUAACAAGGAUUUCAUACGAGACUUACAAAUCAGAUACCCUAAUCAUUGCCCUAAUUAUGUAUACACAAAAUCAAGAUUGAUACAAAAGUUCGAUCUUUGAAGACAAAUAUUGUGAAUUGAGGAGAGAGAUGAGAUAUGAUUGACAGAACUCCGAUAUUAGUCUUCAAAUCGAGCUGUCAGUUACUUUUUGACUCUGGUUUCAAAUUAAUUAAGUCUCAUUUCGUAAUCUUUCUCAUUUCGUAAUCUAAAUGAGACUUAGUUAAGUAGAGGUUUAGAAAAAGAGAAAGAUAAAGAGGGAAAUGAAACUUAGCUACUCUGAAGGAUCUGUUUUGUCUUUUAAUUUUUUUGGGAGAAAUGAAUUGUUUCGUUAUAAAGAUUAAUCCUUAUGAAAUAAUAAAAGUUAGGCCUGUAGUGCUUGGGUGGUCAUAUGAUCAAAGUUUGAAAUUGGGUAUUUUGAGUUCGAAUCAGUGAAGCGCUCACGUGGCGCCUGGGGGCUCAAAUUCCAAAUUUUUGAAUAGAAAGUGGCUUAAUUUACAUUAACCAAAAGAAAUGGACUUAAUACCCAAAAAUUUCUAAAGUUCAGUGGUCAAUUUUAUAUUUUACCCUAACUUUAUCAUUAUAGCAAACUAUUUCAUGUUGCUCGGAGGAAAAAAAAAAUAUUAGAAGGAAAAAGGUUUGGCCUAUUAGUACUCGGUAAGUUCUAAACAAACCAAACACAAUUAAUAAUUUUAUUUAUUUACUAAUAAUAGUUUAUAUAACUUAUACGUUAUUAAGGGCUCAAAUUUUAUGGGAGUAGUUAACAUAAAAUUAAUUUUGAUUAAUUGACUAAUAUAGUAUCAACACACAAAUUGAAAAAUAAUCUCUCCUUACGUGUCAACAUUAUAUUAAUUAAUUUAUCAUAAAAAUUUUCAUAAUAAUCAGAUCCAAAUUUUAUAUAUCAAAAAUAGUAUGUCGCGUUGGACCUCUAAAUACUACUACUUUACCCACAUUAAAAGUUAAUAAUCGAAAAAAUCUCUCUCUAUUGUCGUUUUAUUUAUCAUUAUCCAAACACUACUGCUCUACGCACAUUAAACGGUGCUGAGAAGAAACGUUGUCAUUGUCCUUUUUCUGCAUGUGUGAUUGAAGGUAAUUUGGGUCUUAUCAUUAUGUUAGAACUUAUGUUAUUAGCUGCUCAUGUUUAACUUGAGUUUUUUUUUUUUGGUAUUUUGCAAGUCUUGUGGUACUGUCCAAAGAGUAUGGAUUUUUUCCACUUUUAUAAUCAUGUUUUGGGUAUUAAUGAAUUUCAUUUUAUUGAUAAAAAAGAAAAAUAAAAUUUUUCUCUCAAAUUAGUCACAUGCGGAUCACAUUAUUGAAUUACAGAUUUAAACAUAAAUUUAUAAGCAAUAACUCUCUUGACUUUUUAAAAAUAUAUUUAAGUCAUUUUUUUUGUCCAUGUUAGUCUACGAAAAACUACUUAAUAGCUUUAAAAUUAAUAUAAAAAAAAAUUACAAUUAACUCCUACUUCUAUACCACGAAGACAAAGGCAACCAAGUGGAAUAGGCGGGUAAUUUAAUUAACCUAAUUGGCUUUAUAUGUUAAAGCUAAUUAGGUUCCACAAAAACAAUAUUGGAGUAGCAGCUAAUAGUGUGACAGGUGACCAUACAAUGGAUAUUUUUCAAUACGUUUCACUUUCAUGACAGAAAACUUUACGGAUUAAUUAACACACAAAAUAUAAAUAAAAAUAUUUUAUCAGUUUUUUCUUAUUAUAAUUAAAAAAGAACUGGAGACUAUAAAAGGGUAUGCAUGGAAGUCUAGAGAUCACAGAAAACACACACUUCAUUUCUUAAGAAAAAAGUUGUUGAAGUUUGAAGAGAUCAUGAGGGCAAUAUAUAUUAUCAGCAUCAUUAUAGUGAGCUUGAGCAUUUUCUCUUGUGGUGGGAAUGCUCGACUUCUUCCUGCUAAUAGAGAUUAUCCAUGGGCAAUGUUUGCCCUAAGGCUUCAAUGGCCAGCUGGAUUUUACGAGGUCAACAAUGACUGUGAUACAAAGUCUCUCCUCAACACAUUUACCAUUCACGGCCUUUAUCCCUAUAACGCGAAGGGGAUCCCAGUGUUAUAUUGUGACGGAACUGCCUUUGAUGUUAACUCUGUGAGUUCUCUCAGUCUGCAUUUAAUUUACUUCUUAAAAUCCUUGCUCUAUUGUCUAUUAAAUAUGUUUUUUUGUGGUAACAUUUAUAUAUAUCUUGAAGAGUUGGAUAUGUUUGUUUGAUAAAAAAAAUGAAAUUGUACAUGCAAUAUAUAUCCAUACAUACUCACAUAUGUUAAACUAAUUUCUCUCCUCCUUUAUUUUGAAAAUUAACAGGUAUCGGACUUUCAAGCAGAAAUGCAUCUUGCAUGGCCGAGUCAUGAAACUAAUACUGAGGACAAACAAUUCUGGGAACACGAGUGGAAUAAACAUGGAAGGUGCUCAGAAGCUUUGUUGAAGCAGACUGAUUAUUUUAGAACGGCGCUUGCUUUUAGAAAAGCAUUUGAUAUAAUUGGGCUACUAAACCAGGAAGGUAAACAUACCCAUUGAUAUAUAAUUAAAUAGUCUUUAAUUUGGUUCAUUAAUUGCUUCCUAAGGGAACUACGUACUUAAUUUAGAUUUUGUGGAUGAUUAAUUGAUAAUGUGAGUUUGAUGAGAUUACUAUUCAAAAAUGUGUAGGGAUUUACCCGAAUAACGACCUUUAUCGUCCUAAAAUGAUAAAAGAAGCAAUCAAAAAGCACUUGAAUGCUGUGCCAGAAAUCGAUUUCACCAAAAACGAAAACUCAGAAUAUGUGCUUACGGAUAUUAAUCUAUGUGUGAACCAACAAGCAACAAGGUUCGUAGAUUGCCCUACCGAUGACGCUACUGAUGACUACCGCCUCAAAUUCGUAAGACUACCUUCUAAAAUGAAAAUUGCGGAUCCGAGGACCAAUUCUAUAAUAUAGCACAAAUGGUACGGCUACAAAAUGGACUACUAUCUUGUUUAAUUAAUGCUUUUGGGAGUAUAUAUUAUCUAUGUAAAAUAGUUAUGAGUGCUAGGGUUGGCUAAUUAGUACUAUGAGGCCAACCUUUAGUAUCUCUUGAAUAAUGUCCAUGUAGCAAAAGUUUAUAGCACUCUGGCCUUGGUGUGUAUGGAUAAUUAUAAUAAAUGACUACUUUUAUCUGCAAAAAAAAAUAAAAUCCAAGUAUUUUCUUUUGUUUUUAUUUUUGAUAAGAAUUUAAUUUUAUGUAGUUUGAUGGCAUAGUUUAUCUAGGAAGCUGAUAUUUUCACAUGUUAAAAUGAUAUUUUCAAACGAGUCUCUCACAAUAUGGAUGUGGGACUUGCUCACUAUUCAUGUGAGAGGGAUUAUGUGAAAAUAUCAAAUUUUUAUGUGAAAAUAUUAGCUCCCUUUAUCUAUUAUAAUGGUGAAACAUGACUUUUUGAUAUUUUUCACAUGAAAAUCGUCGCUAUAGAUCCUUUAGUAGUGGUUUUUACUGUCGCUAUACAUCUCUAUAGCUACAUUUUUUAUAUAAAAAUAUCAAAAAAAUAUGUGGAAAUAUCAAGCAUGCAUGCAUCGUACCAGAAAACAUUUAAAGGGACACUUCAAAGGGAUUUCAGACAAAAAAUAAAACCAAAAAUAAAUGAUUUCAUCACAAUUUUGUUUUCAAGUAUUGUCGCAAAUCAGUGGUCACUAAAAAAAAAAAGGAAAAUAUAUUUGUCGCAAUCUAUAAAACAUGACUGAAAACAGGGGCGAAGCCACAGUUCAGGAUGUGUGGUCAAUUGAUUUCAUUGAAAAAUAUAUAUUUUAUAAUAUAUGAUAAAUUUAAAGAAUAUUUAAGUGUAAUAAAUAAAUUGACUUCAUUGAAAUUUUAUAACCUUUUUAAUAUACGGUGUUAAAUUGAAUUUUUUAUAACUUUCUCAAUUCUAUAUUAUUUCUACUCCUUGAUGUAUGCUUAUUUCUCUAAUAUUUUUAAAAUAAAUAAUAAUUUAAUUUAUAUUAUUUUUAUAUCAUAAGAAAUUUAAAUAUUUAUUAACAAAUUUAUGAUUAAAAAACGUAUUAGGGGUCAAUAAGGAGUUUUUUUGUGUGUGUGUGUGUGUGUGUGUGUAUAUAUAUAUACAUGUUGUUUCAUUUUAUGUCUUUAGGUUUAGUUUAUCAGGAUACUAGGUAGAUUAUUUCAUUUGGGUCUCUCUUGAGCCUUAAUUUUAGGUUGCCCUCUUUUAUAAAGAGGAUGAUUCGAUUUCAACUGCUGACAUCUGUACCAGUUGGUUCAUGGACAAGUUUCUUUUGAUAAGUUAGUAUCAUGGACAAAUAUAAAUAAUAAUUAACUGUUACAAUGAAAAUUAAACUUCAAUUAAGUCUAGGCCAUUCAUACAUUGAAAAAAGCUUCUUGAAUAGGUUAGAGAGUUUGUGAAAUAUUUUUUUAGUUUGCUUAACCCUUUGAAAAGCGGUUGUGGUAAGAACAAAUAUUGAUAAGUUAUUGAAACACCGCUUUUCAAAGGGUUAAGCAAACUAAAAAAAUAUUUCACAAACUCUCUAACCUAUUCAAGAAGCUUUUUUCAAUGUAUGAAUGGCCUAGACUUAAUUGAAGUUUAAUUUUCAUUAUAACAGUUAAUCAUUAUUUAUACUUGUCCAUGAUACUAACUUAUCAAAAGAAACUUGUCCAUAAACCAACUGGUACAGAUGUCAGCAGUUGAAACCGAAUCAUCCCCUUUAUAAAAGAGGGCAACCUAAAAUUAAGGCUCAAGAGAGACCCAAAUGAAAUAAUCUACCUAGUAUCCUGGUAAACUAAACCUAAAGACAUAAAAUGCAGUAACAUAUGUACAUGAAGGACAUAUUGAAACACUGCUUUUUUUUUCUUUUUUGAUAAGUUAUUAAAACACCGCUUUUCAAAGGGUAAGCAAACUUGAUACAGGAAGAGAAGUAACCCUUUGAGCAGCAGGAACCCAUCUGGGUGGAGGCGAAUCCAACAAUCAACUCAGAAUUACAAAAUCCUAUACAAUAAGAUUACACACAAACUCUAAAUUUCAUUCAUUUAGUUAGAAAAUUAGAAAAUACCUUGGGAGACGACGAACUUGCUUUCGAAUUCGUCCGGCGAACUUGCUUUCGAAUUCGUCCGACGAGAUGCUUGGAUUUGCGAUUGAGAAUGAGCCAGAUUUCGUCUGGCGAGAUGCUUGGAUUCGCGAUUGAGAAUGAGCAAGAUGGUCUCUGUCCUUUUUUUGACCCGAAAAGGAUCCGCGGCUAUUUUUUCCCAAAAGGUCUGUGUCUUUUCCUCGCCGUUGGAUGUAUCUCACGAUUAGUAUGAAAAGUUCGUAUUUUUGGCAACAUCCGGGCGCCCGGACCAGAUCGUUUCUGUAUAUGUAUGUAUGUAUAUAUAUAUAUAUAUAUAUAUAUAUAUAUAUAUAUAUAUAUGCGUUGUGAGAUCUGUGGUAUUGUGUUGCAUGGGGUAAUAUAAACUAUGCAAUAAGUGAUUUCUGUGUUUAAUAAAUAUAUUAUUAUAUAUUUGUUAUUUAUUGAAGAGGCAAGUUAUUUGAAGUAAAGAAGAUGGAUAAAAAUUUAUCGAUAUUAAAUAAUUUAUGUGAAAUUAUUUUAUCGUAGUAAGUUGGUGACAUUAAAUAUAUUUGAUAAUCACCAAUUUCUUUAGUAUAUGUAUGAGUAAGUAUCACGUCUAAGGCAGUGCAACCGUACCCUUUAAUGGUGGUUGUGUAGGAGCUGGGCUAACUGAUUCCUUCAGAGAGCGGAGAUAUAUACAAAUUAGUAACCGAUCUAACUUACUGUGAAAACAGUGUAGACGAGAAGGAAAGUAAUUUGUUGGUUAUUUGUGGGAAACCACUCAGUGUACUAUAUUGAAUACUAUUAAAGACUCGAUGUGUGUUAGGUUUAGACUUGUAUAUAUAUACGUUAUUGACGAGAGAAGAAAAUCGAUAUAUCUUUAGAUAAAUAUUGGUUAGAGAUUUAUUGAUUAAUAUUGAGAUAUGAUUAAAUGUAUAGAUUAAAGAAAUUGUGUUGAGACAAUUUAUAGAAAGGAAAGAGAAAUAAUUAUAGUAUAUUUCUAAUAAAGGAUAUUAAAAUAAAUUCUAGCAUUUGAUUAUUUUAAUAAUAAUGGGGAAUAUUAUUUUGAAAUUACCUUAUAGGUAAUGUGUGUGAUUAAGUAAUAUGGUAAAUAUAUUAAAACAUAUUUGCUAUAUAAGUUGAUGGAAACAAUUUAUCAUAAUAGGAAAUAAACUUAUUUUCUAUAUAUAGUGUGUACGUGUGUCGUGCAUGUAAAUAUUUUAAUAAUACAUAGAUAUUAUAUUAACAAUAAUAUCUUGAGAAAAUGAGUAAAUCGUUUUAUUAUGAUUAGUUCCUAUAUUUAGAGAAAACAUGAUAAAAUCAUCGUAUGUUAUGUUAUGGCGAAAUACAUAAUUUUGAUUGUAGUAAUGUAUUUCCAAGAAGGUUAAAGUUAAAAGAAAACUAAGUUAUUCUAAUAACUUGAGUUAUUAUAUUACCGCGAAUGUUAUAAAGAAUAUUUAAAUAUCUUCAUUCACGAUAUAUUUAUAUAUGUGAAUCUUGUGAUAUAAUAGUUCGAUGUAAAUUGAACAUAUUAUAAAUAGUAAGGUUCGUGGUAAAUGAAUAAGUAAUGAGAAUGAGGAUAAGCUUAAUGUAAGCUUGUGAGAUAUGCCUAGUGUGGUAAAGUGAUGGAAUAAACAUUCAUUAAAUAAUUUAAUGAAUGAAUAAUUGAAGGAAUUAAAUUGUAUGUGCAAUGAUUAUAUAUUAUAUAGUAACUACAUCUAUAUGAUAUGAAAUGAAGUGUGACACUUCAAUGGUAACUAUAUAAUAUAUGAAGUAUUUGAAUACAUAUGUAUAAAGACUAGUAUGCUAGCAUUAUGUACAAGUGAGAUAAUAAAUGUAAUAUGGUACAAUAGACCACUUCCAUGACCAUAUUAUAAGAUGUAAUGUUAAGAAUAAUAUUAUUUUGUGAGAUUAUUUUAUUAUAAGCUUGUGGACUAUUAAUUACUAAGUUCACAUAAUUAUGUCUUGUGUGGCAUAACUAGUGAAGUUAAAUCAAAGGGAGAAUUAAUGGAAAGUAUUAAAAGAAAAUAAAUGGUGAGUUAAUAAAUAAUUGAUAUUAAUUAUCAUUAUGAUAAUUGAGGGUAUUUGAGGUAAUAAAGUUUAUGGAAAAUGAUGGAUUGAGAAUAUCCAACUAUUUUAUAUUUAGCCCAAUAAAAAUAUUAAUUGAAAUAAACCAAUGUACAUAGAUUAUAUAAAUUCUAUGUGUAAUGUAUAAGUGAGUGUAUAUGUAUGAUCAUUUUUGGACAAAUAUCAAAUAAACCUAAGUAUGCUAAUAGUAAUACAAAAUGUUGAGUUUUAAGGGUAGUGUCCCAAAUUGUGUGUCAUUUCUCCAUACACGUGAAAUGCAAAAAGGAUAGCUAGCUAGCUUGCUUCUUCUUCUCCAAAAUCCAUAGCUUCCAAAUGAUGAAAAGGGGAGUGAGUUGAUUUGAUUUUCCACCAACUUCUCAUGAACCAUUAGUUUCUUCUUCAUUCCAUUGAGCAAAGUUCCAAUGUUGGUCAAAAAGUUUUCCUAUAAAUGAAGCAAGUUUCAUUCUUGUACUUCUUGUUGAUCACUCUGUGAAGUUCAAAAAUUUGUGUGUGUGAGUGUUGUUGAGUUGGAGAGGAAACUUGAGAUUGAAAGCAAAGAGUUUACUUCACAACUUUAGAAGGUAAUAUCCCUCUAUAUGUUAUUGAAUUCAAGUUUUGCAAAGUUCUUAAAAAAGUACUAAAAUACUUGUUUUGAGUUGAAAAGUUUAUGGUUGAAGCAUGAUAAAGUGUGUCAAUUGAUGCUAGACACUGAUAAUAUAGUCAUAUGCGAAAACAGCGAGAGUUAAACGGACCAAUUUGGUUUAGAAACGAAUUCGUAGUGAAUGAAUUCACUAAACUUUUCAAAACAUGAAAAUUAGUAUGAACAUGAGUUUUGGAUUAAGAAUUAGGUUAGUUAGGGUUUCUGUAAAUUGUUAUAAUUCUAGUAUGUUGUAGUUCUAUGAAUUACGAAUCCAUAGAAUCAAAAACGGACUAAUUUGGACAUGUAUAACUCAAAUUAUGAAGGUUAGAAAGAGGUUUGGCAUGAUAUCUCGUAGCAGGGGAAAUGAAAAUUUUCAAUUUCAACAGCUAUGCCCGCCCCGGCGGGGGUCUUGCUGUGAAAAAGGCCCGCCCCGGCGGAAGAGGUGGGGGGGGNNNNNNNNNNNNNNNNNNNNNNNNNNNNNNNNNNNNNNNNNNNNNNNNNNNNNNNNNNNNNNNNNNNNNNNNNNNNNNNNNNNNNNNNNNNNNNNNNNNNNNNNNNNNNNNNNNNNNNNNNNNNNNNNNNNNNNNNNNNNNNNNNNNNNNNNNNNNNNNNNNNNNNNNNNNNNNNNNNNNNNNNNNNNNNNNNNNNNNNNNNNNNNNNNNNNNNNNNNNNNNNNNNNNNNNNNNNNNNNNNNNNNNNNNNNNNNNNNNNNNNNNNNNNNNNNNNNNNNNNNNNNNNNNNNNNNNNNNNNNNNNNNNNNNNNNNNNNNNNNNNNNNNNNNNNNNNNNNNNNNNNNNNNNNNNNNNNNNNNNNNNNNNNNNNNNNNNNNNNNNNNNNNNNNNNNNNNNNNNNNNNNNNNNNNNNNNNNNNNNNNNNNNNNNNNNNNNNNNNNNNNNGUGUCCUGCAAUGACUUAUUUUAUCUGUUUUGGUAAAACGGAUAUAACGUUUUCAUACAAACUCCGAUUGAGGAGAUUCAAGAUGAUCCGGAACGAGAAUGAAUAGACCCUCAACUUUUGUUCUUUACAUUUUUCAUUUUGAGGUUGUUAGAAUGGGUCAAAACAGUCAUCUUUGUGACUGUUACGUAUAUGUUAUUCUAAGUUAUUAAACAUAAAUAUGUAUGAUAAUAGACAUGUCAUAUAGCUAAGAUUUCUUUACUCAUAAUGAAAUGCGUUAACAUGAUUUUCUAAAAAACACUUAAAAGUUUUUGAGAAACGAAAGUUGAUGAAAUUGGUGUCCAUUGAGUUCUGAGCUUGGACCCUAUGUACGCAUAUCAAUGGACAUGAAAUUUAGUUUUAAAGUUACCUUGCAUAUACUAGAUUGAUAUAGCUUGGUUUAAAGUGUUUUGAAAGAAAAACUUGAAGUUUUGAAAAUGAAACUUGACGAACUUUGUGUCUUUUAAGCUUCGACUUUGGGAACAUGUGAUUGUGGCCUAGUUAUGCGUGUGGAUGGACAAGGAAUGUAAUUUCAAGAUAUAUUGCACAUAAAAGGUUGUCAAGCUCGGUUUAGUAUGUGUUUUAAAUUUUUUUUAAAAGUUUUAGAAACUAACUUUGAUGAGCAUUGUAUUACUUGCAUUAUGACCUUAUAAGCAAGCAUGAUAGAGUUGUCUAUGACUUUGAACAUGAAUGAUAUGUGCACUCAACUAGUCAAGCAUGACCUAAGUUAUUUAAGCAUGUUUUAAAAGUAUGAACUAUGCUAUGUCUAUGUAAAUGAGAUAGAUACAUGUGAUCAUGCUAUUAGAGGCUUAUUAGUACCAAUAUAUAGUUUAAAAGCUUAUAACAUUGAAUCUUGUUAAAGAAAGUUGUUAAGCCUUAUUGAUUAAAAUAAAUCAUUAUGGAGCUAAGUAGUUUGAAUAUGAACUUGAAAAUAGAUCACAACCUAUUUAAUGUCAAGUACGGAUGGUUAAGAUAUACUUAUACAUGCCUAGCUAUUCAAAGAUUAGGAAGAGAAAGUGAAAUGAAGGUUUUACAAACCUAGUUAGGAAACGAUAUAAUAUUUAUUAUUAUAUUAAGAGCAUAUGAAAUGUAUGACUGAUGGAUAUGAAUCCAUGAUUAUAUAACUAUGUAGGAAUACACGCAGUGCAGAUAAGCUUUAAGCAGUUAAGUCAUAGUUGAUAAACUAUGAAUCAGGGUCUUUCAGUUCUUAUUUGAUAUAUGAAUUUGAUAAUUGUUAGUUGAGCUAUAUUAUGCUAUGAGAAUGUUGAUGUAUAUAUAUGAAAUGCAUAUGAGAUAUGUAUGAAAUUGAAAGUUGAUCUUUGAUGAUAUGCUUGUGAAGUAAAUGUCUAUGCCUGUUAUGUGAGAAGUAACAUGUGUAGUAAAUAUUAAUUGAUUAUGAAUGCAUGAACUGAGUAUGUUAUUAUAUGCUAUGUGCUGCAUGAAAACUGUUAGAAUUGCUGGGUUGUCGAGCUCACCCUUGCAAAUAACCACUUUUACAGGUUAAGGACUCACGAUAAAGAUUACGUGCUACUUGAUACAUAAAGUUCAAUAGCAUCAAAGGAGAUUUAUUUAUUUAUUUAAAUAUAUGACCUUGAACCAUGUUUAGGUUCUAGGAGAUGUACAUAAUAGUAGUUUACGAUAAGUAAUACAUGUUAAGUUGUACUAUGUGAUACAUAGAGGAAUUCGAAUCGAGAUGUAAAGAUUUUUACAGUAAUUCGAAUAGAAUGAAUCAUAACAUAAUUUGAUUCAAGGAGAUCUAAUUGAUUCAAGUUAAGACAUCAAUAAAAGAUUUUUUUUAAGAGAUUGAAAAAGUUUAAAUUAUUCUGCAUAUUUUUAUAACAUCGAAUAUGAUAUAAGACAAGAAUGGUAAAUGACCAAGAUUAGAAACUUAUAAAAGUUUGGGGUCAUUACACAGAUCCUGGCAAUAGAAAGAAUUUAUUUUCUAAAUUGUAAUAAGCUAAGUUAUAUUCAUUAAGUUAUGAAUAAAAGAUAUAAAUAGUUUGACGAUAGUAGUAUCAUGGCGGACUGGAUCCGAGGUUCGAAGGGACCCGGAUUUGGGGGCGUCACAAUCACUAUUCAAAUACAUACAUAUAUCACCUGCUUAAUAUUGUAUACAUUCUUCAUUUAUUCCACACGUGUCUCAUAAAAAAUAAUAGAAACAUCCAUUCAUUCUUCUAUAGGCCUUAACCUCACAUAUUCAACAUUUGCCUAUAAUAUAAAUUAGGAUUACUUGAGAUUUCACGUAUAUGAAAUUACAUAUUUUCACAUCUCGACUCUUUACACAAUUUAAUACUUCAUAAUAUCAUAACGUAUCUUAUAUUAUUACAAAAAAUUAAUACAACAUCCUAAUCUAUUACAUCAACAUUAUUCAUUCUUUCUAACAACCGUUUCUUUCUCUUUUAUCUAUAUCUUUUGGACCCUUUUGAUCCUUCUGCCUUUUCUAAAAAUUUGAAAUAAAAUGCAAGAGCGAACAACAGAUUUGCUUAACAAGUUUAAAAAUAGUUUAGAAUAAUAAGCACAAGUAUAAAUCCCAGUCACUGAAUUAACAUUACAGAUAAUAAUCUUAAAAAUUCUGAAACACUCAGCAUCAACAACGUAGCAUAACAAAAUGUCACUACAGGAAAAAGACUUAUCUAUAACCACCUAUUAGUGACUGUACUUGGUCGCAGAUGCAUAUCAGCGAUUGAAUGCGGUCGCUGAUAAUAGUCACAUAUAAUCUGGCCGUUGUGUGGAUCCCAACGACCACUAUUAGUGACCGAUAUAUCAGCGACCGCCCUAUAGCGACCGAUGUCGUCGCUAACCUGAGUCACUGUGAGUCAGGUCUCAGGGGUGACGUGGCCCAAUUUUUGCGACCAACAUUAUCGAUCGACGUGGUCACUAAAAACCUCAAGUCAUUUUUUAGCGGUCGCUGAUACGUAUUAGUGACCGCCUGCGGUUGUUGAUACUUAAAUUUUUUUUUUUAAAAAAAGAUUGUUUUGGGGAUUUAAUUCCCUACACAUAUUAGUGUCUAUUUGUACCUGCUUUAUAUCUUAAAACACAGCUGUAUCAAUAAAUAAACCAACAUCCAUACAAAUACAUCGAUCCAUAUAUAUACACAUCCACACAUGUAUAAACAUAUAUAAACAAAUACCAUCCGACUAAAUUUUUUAUACAAAUAAAAUGUCAUAACAUACAAUAUAAACUCCGUACAUUCAUUCGGUAAAAAAAGAAUAAUACAAAUGUUCACAUAAAAGAGAAGAGAACAAUACAAAUGUCUGCAUGCAUCAAAUAUCGUCCAAAUGAAGUUGUAACAAAAUAUGUUAAAUAUAAAGUAUACAUGUUGAUACUGGCGUGACUUAUGCAAAGCAAAAAAUGACCAUUUAUGAUGUAUUACAAUAACAAAAAGCUAAACAUAAAUAAAAAACUAAACAUGUAUUAUUGAAUGUAAAACUAAACUAAGCAUCAAAGCUAAACAUAAAGGUAAACAAUGACAAGAUUACCUCGACAUCAUUAGCAUGUUGUUAUGAUGUUUUCACCACUACAUAAGCUAACUCUUUAGGACUCAGAGAUUGUAAAUAUCCGCCAAUUAUAAAGUCGGUCGUCGUUAAUAAAGCUUGUCCCCAAUACUCCUUGAGAAGUGUAAUCUAGUUAUGGCUCACCUCUCCAUGAAAUCAAGAAACAUCCUCGGUUUGAAAGCCCUAUGCAUUUCAGUUGUUACUCCUGUUUUUGCAAAAUCAACUGCCAUAGAGUGAAGGGUUGCCAACUGAAGAUAUUUUUUACUCAUAACUUUAUUUGACUCAAGGUCUGUAUGUACCAAAUGUGCAAUAGAGAUUGUACCUAAGGUAUCAUUAAUCAGAUAAUUAAUUAACAGAGAACUUUUGAAUUUCCUGCAAAAUUAGACUUAUUGGAAAAUCUCAGACUAUUAUGAACAUAAAUAAAAUAAAAUUUAGCUUUAAACUACCUCUAAUGUCAUAUCAUGAUCCAUCAAGCGUGGUCUUCGUCUAGUAUAGUUCAUGGGGGGGGGGGUACAGUUCAACGUGGGAUGAGAUUAUCAUCCCAACUUAUGAAAUUGAGCUCAACCAUAUAGACCUAGCUCUUCCAUUCCCAAAUCAACUGCUACAGUUCAUUGUAAUUGAACUAAUUAAGGAAGUAACAGUUCAAUAGAUAGAGAGGAAAAGCGGGCCAGGACUGGAAACUGGAAGGGAGUUAAUGAGAAUACAAAGUGUCACCAUUCUUAGAUGUUUCUUUUGCAUUUUUUGUGUAUAGACAAAUAUAUAAAAAUAAAUGUGGCUAUUUUUCAAUACACUCAUUAUUUCUUGAUGUAAAUCAUAUAUUCUCGAUGCAGAAGAUCAACUAGACACUUUCUAUGACGCCCCUAAAAUUAGUCCACACAACCCAUUUUGGGUCGCCAAAUACACACUACAGAAUCUAAAUACAAAUCUUUCAAUUUAUAACUAUUAAAAUGUUGUGUAAAAUACAACAACACAUAAACUGGGAGUUUCAAUAAAAAUAACAGUACUCACACUCCAAACUAAUGAUACUUUACAUAAGGGUAAAAUGCAAAGCAAAUCUGACGUCAGCAUUUUUUAUUUUAUUUUACAUAGUGGACAGGCUGACAUGGCAAAUAUUGAAUUUACCUAGCAAAAAUUAUGUUUGCUGCCAAGAUUUGAACUUGAGACCUCUAGCUUAAAACUUGAACCCAAUAACCAACUAAGCAAACAAGACUAGUUGUUAUAAUUUUGCAAGGAUUAAUAUUUAUAACUGAACAAAUUAUUUUCCCCAAUAAUAACAACAACAACAACAACAACAACAACAACAACAAUAAUAAUAAUAAUAAUAACAAUAAUAAUAAUAAUAAUAAUAAUAACAAUAAUAAUAAUAAUAAUAAUAAUAACAAUAAUAAUAAUAAUAAUAAUAACAAUAAUAAUAAUAAUAAUAACAACAAUGAUAAUAAUGAUGAUGAUAAUAAUAAUAAUAAUGAUAAUGAUAAUAACAAUAAUAAUAAUAAUAAUAAUAACAACAACAACAACAACAACAACAACAACAACAACAACAAUAAUAAUAAUAAUAAUAAUAAUAAUAAUAAUAAUAAUAAAAGACGUUAUUAAAGACAUCAAAGACUCCUACAAAGACAUCGGAUUAUUAUUCAAAUUAUAAUCCAUCAAAGACAUCAGGAAUAGUGGGGAUGUUUAUUCAAAUUUUAUUUUUAUUUUAUUAUUAUUAUUAUUAUUAUUAUUAUUUUGAAAAACUCCUACAAGAUCUGUUAGUUAUAAUCAGUCCAGAACAGAUCCAAAAUUCAGCCAAAAAUCCCACAACAUUUAUAUGAUUCAAAAUCCCACAACAUUUAUAUAAUCCAAGGACAGAGUAACAGUUUUAUAGAUCUAGAUCUAUAUCAACUAAACCCAUAACAGACUAAAUUAACACUCAAAAUAAGAUCUAGGCCUCCGUCGACUACUCCGUUACCAAAAGAAUCGCCGGCGAAACGACGUCCCACAAGAUCCGCCUCUUUCAUCUUUCAUCUUCCUCUCCAAUCCCAAUUAAAUUGAAAAUACAAAACAUUAAUUAAAUUAAAAGGAAAAAAAUAGCCUUCAUCAGAAUCCACCUCUUUCAUCUUCCUGGAUGGUGUUUUCAGUUCAGUCUUGUCCAUCACCUGUGGAAAGAAAAAAUAAUAAAGAGAAGAGAAAGGCACUAGUGGUCCGGUUAAGAACACGUGAUUAAUGACUGCUACAACAUCUCUGACGAACUUCACAAGAUUUUCUCCUAUAUGUUCACCUGUAAAUGAGAAACUCUACUUAUGUUUCGAUUGUCAUAAUAUUUUGAAAUUGUACAAGUAAUUGAUGAAUUCUCGGUCGAAUUCGACUUGGGGUUUUGUUCAACCAUUUUCAAACUUACUAAAUCUCCCCUUUUAUUUUAUUAUAAUUGUUUGUAAGCUUUUAUAAUUGUUUGUAAACUUUUAUAAUUUGUUUUAUAAUUUCUGGAAAUGUCUAAUAUUUUGAAUAUGGGAUAUUUUUAAGUUUUAAUUUUAAGCUUAUUUUUAAAUAUAUUCUUUUUAAAUUUGUAAAUUAGUUUUAAUUUAAAAUUUUUAAUUUUAAUCUAUAAAUUUGCUAAUGUUAAUUGUUUAAUUUUUUAAUUAAUGUUGAUUGUUUAAUUUGUUAUCCUUUUAAUAUUAUGUCGAGGGAAAUGAACUGAUUUAGUAUAAAUCUUAAUUCUUUUGUUAAAAUAAUUGAAAGUUUUAUGUAGCUCAGGUGGUUUAAUGGUCAAAGUUUCAAAAUUGAGAUUUUGGGUUCGAUUCUUGGGGAACUAAGUUUUUUAACAAUUAAUUGAAAAAUGCAUAGAUAAGUAGCUCCACAUGACAAAAAUAUCCACGUCAUCGGUGCCACGUGUGCCACGUAGGCAGGUCAACGCACCUGGGGGCUCAAUAUCCAAAUUUUCAAACAGAAAAAGGGCUCAAUUUGCGUUGACAAAAAAAAAAGGGCUCAAUACCCAAAAACACCUAAAGUUCAGUGAUCACAUUUGCAUUUACAUAAAGGUACAAUCAAUAUAACGAUCGAGAAAUUUGAAAUUUAAUUUUAAUAUUUAUGGAAUUAAAUAAAUAUUUAAAAUUAUUGAGGAAAAUAAAUAUUUGAUGAAUUGUCAUAAAUUAAUUUAGUAGCUAAAUUAAUUAAUGUUAAUUGAAUCGAGUAAUGAUAAUUUUAUUUGUUGGAUUUAAUUUAAGGAGAUAAUUAAAUUAAAUCAAUUGCUUAAUAUUUAAGAAAUUAGUUAAAUUAAAUGAAUUGUUUAAUUUAAAGGAAAUAAAUAAAUUAAAUAUAGUGAUGUGUCUAAUUUAUUAAUUAAAUUAGAUAUAUAAUUAUUUAUUAAUGAUAAUAAGAUUUUUAUUAUUAGUAUUAUAAGUUAUUUAAAUUAACUAAACUAAGUUAUUUAAAUUAAUUAACUAAAAGUGUGAUAUAAAACUAUGUAAUAUAAAUGUUAUUAAAAUAAUUUAGUUUGGGGAAAGUUGGUUAGCCAAACCAGGCCUUAUGGCCUUUGGCAUUAUUCCAACUGACGAGUCUUUUUAUUUUUCUAACGUAAGGGAACGUGGGAGCAGCUAGCUUAUAUUUUUCCUACGCAUAUUAUUUUCUAAGGCUAGCAUUCAGUUUCUUUUAUUAUUCACGUAUUUGACUAAGGAGGAAGAGCAGAGUUGAGAGAAAAGAGAGAGCGUAAGAAUUGAGAGAGAAGAAGAAUUACAAGGAACUUGAGAGAUUGAGAGGAAACCUAAGCAAUUUCAGUGUUAACAAGGGUUAAACAUAUUGAAGGUAUUCUAUCUAACCCUUGUAUUAUAUAUAUAUAUAUAUAUAUAUAUAUAUAUAUAUAUAUAUGAACUUACGGCAAAUUUGUUAUGUUUUGUUAAUUGUAAUUCUUUCAAAAUUGUUGUGUAACUAAAGUAUGGUGGAUGUGUGGUAUAAUGCUAGAGUUUAUGUUUAAAACGAGAAGUUUGUAUGCUAAAUUCGUUGACAGUAGGAAGAAAAUUUUGACAGUAUAUGUGUUUCAUAUGGUUCAUGGAAAAGUAUUAAUUUUGAUGGCCAAUUCUUAUGUUAAACUAUAAAUUUAAGCUUGUAUAUGUUAGUUCGUUGAGAUACGAGCAUAACGUAAUUUGAAGGAGGUGAUUUGGUCAAAUAAUGAAUUCACAGUGAUGAUUUUUGGGAUAGACUAUCAAAAAUGGAGUUUUAUAUAAAAAACAUGAAAAUUGAGAAAUUAAAAUAGUUUUAGUUGUUGUUAAUUUGUGCUAAGUGGUUGAAUAUGUUAGCAAUCAUGUUUAUGAUAGUUGUAUAUUUAUUUUUCAUGUUGUUAUCACCGUUUGAUGGAUGAAAUUGGUGUUUGUUGGGCUAAAGUCGGCUACUGUUCAUUAGCCUUCUCUGCGUCUGUCUGAACACCGACGCAACUGCGCCGGUGCCAAGGCAAAAAACGACGCAGCUGCGCCGGUCCCAGGCUUAAGUAUGGCGCAGCUGUGCCAUACCCUGGUCUGAGACAGUGAAGUCUGCUUAUUUGCAGAUCAUGUGUAAUGGACUUAUAUUAGUUUAGCAUGCAUGUUAAUGAUGUUGAGGCAUAAUAUAAACUACAAUAACAGAUUGUCAUGCGUUGUUAUAUAAAGUGUAAAAGAAUUUAAGUGAUUACUUGAAUAAGUUUUGUAAUGAACCAAAUGUGACGUUUUCAAAAGUUAAAUAUAAAUGAUAAGGUUUAUAGUGUGAUUGCAGAAUUGUUAAGGUGUUAACCAACGUGGUUAGGUGCUAGGUUAGGGUUAUGACCUAAAUGUUGGUUUAAACCCUAAAAGCUAAUAUUCAUACAAUUAAUUGUUGUUGUGAUUUCAAUGAUAUGUGUAGGGUAAUUGGAGAUUAUCUUACAUUUGUGUAGCUUACAAAAAAGGCAAGUUUUCUAACUCUACCUUGUUAUUAUUGAGCAAGUUCUUAAAUCUUAACUCUUUACAUUGAGCAAAACUUUCUAACUUCAUUAUUUUCAUAUUAAAUGCAAGUUUCCAUUCCUAAAUUAUUAUUGUGCAAGUUCCUAACAUUCUUUAUGAAGUUGAGCAAGCUUAACCUAUCUUGCGUAUGUUUGUACAAGCUUAUAUAACCUAAUUCGUUACGUUGAGCGAGAUUUAGUUUCCUAAUUAUUAUUUAAAGCAUAUAUUGUUCUAAAACAUUGAUUCAAGGGAGAUUGUUUUAACUCUUCUAUAGCGCUUUGCAUGUAUAUCAUGUUUACUCAAUUAUAUAUUAUUGUUAUUCAAUAUUUGACUUUGAUAACCUUGUUCAAAGCUUUAUCGUUGUAUUAAACCUUCAAUUAGUAAGAAAACAUUUAUUAAUUGAAUUAAUCUAUAUUCGAAUAGUGUUCUAAAAUUCUAGAAACACUGAUAAGCUAGUUCCAAACUAAACUUUCUUUAGUGCGGAAAUUCUAAAUCCAAACUGAGACGAACAACCCUAACAUAGGGGAUUUUGUACGUGUAACAUUUAGAUGUUUGUACACAAUACAUGGUACAAAGGGCUGAUCCCCCUAAGUACGUUAAGAAGGGUCCGUAUAGUCUAAAUGACUGUUAAGGUUGGGUAAUAAUACCUAAGUACCGGGGACAUAGUCCAUGGUCUUAAGACCCUCAGAUAAUUAAAGUUCGAACUUUUUUUCUAGUUUGAUUUGUAGAACAAAUUCCUUAUUGUUCAGCUUUUGUUGUUCACUCUCAUGUUACUACCAUUGCUACUUUCUAUAUUAGUGAGCAUUUGUUUGCUCACUCUUGCAAUUAACACUGUAGCUAAAGUGGAGAAAGUUGAUGAGUCAUCGACUAGCAAAGGCAAGGGCAAGAUGUCCAAAUGAUGAAGACUUAUGAGAAUUUUAUUUUAAUGAAUUAUGUUAAAGACUUGUUUUAAUAUGUGAUGUAUUCCGCAAACUUAUGUAAUAAUUUUAAGGUUAGAUUAUCUGGGAUUUAUUUUGAGAUGAUGAUGUAACCCUUUAAUGGGGAAAAUUAUUGUUUAAGUUAUUUAAAAUUAUGUCUUUAUCCUUUAUUAUGGGUAGUUAGAUGUAAUAGUUUGUGAUAAGUGAGCACCAAAUCCUGUGGGAAUGGAGUACCUGGAUUUGGGGGUGUCACAAUCAAUAACUAUUUUAGGAAUUAAAAUUUUUAAAAAAUGCUCAAGGAAGCCUUCAUACAUGGGAGGCCAUGCAUUUAUGUUAUGAUAGAUAUCAUUUGACUUGAGAAUUAACCUUGGUUGACUCAAUAGACCCCAAAGAAGAACGAGAAUAUUACUAUCCUGUUCAUUCCAAUGGUGUGUAUCUUUUUGCCAUAUAAUUAUCUCCAUUGACUCAAACUGAGGAUUAUAUUCUAACCAUACUCCAAGAUUAUAUAGAUAAUGUUCAUAGAUAUAGUCAGCAAGUGGAUGCACACAACUAUAUCUUAUGAUAACACGGAUUUGUAUGUGGUUAAACAUCAUAUAUGAUAGUAUAUGAUAUAUGAUAUGUCCUCCCAGUAUAAUUAUGUCCUCCUCAUUAUAAUGGUGUGCAUUUUUGAUGCUUCAAAAGUCGGAUUCUCAUCACCUUAUUGUUGUUCACCAAAAUUAACUAUUAAAUGACGUAUAAAAUACGACACACACAUUUUAAGUCCUCAAUACAAUUAUAUAUUAUCAUGCUAUUUUAUAAUGUAUUGAGAAACUUCAACAGACACAGACUAUAACUCUAUUCCCCUGUUAUCCCUGCUCAAUCCAGCUACACUUUUAUUACCUGAAAGAAAUUGUGAAGCAAAAGGGUGAGCACAAAUAGACCAGUAAAGAAUAUUAUGACUAAAGAUAAUUAAAUUAUCAAUAGUCGUCAUCAGUAAUAAUAUAUAAAAUAUUUAGAACAUAUGGUAGAUGAUAAAAGUUUUCAAGCAUAAUUACAGCGGAAUCAACAAUCUAUUAGAAGAGUCAAGUAGAACAUAAUGUCUACUAUCUCCUCCAAAUUAAAAGUCCAUCAUUAAUAUUUCAUUCCUGUAAUACCCAUCAAUGGUUCUUUGUUGUACCCAAAACAAAGAGAACUUUUAUCACCUUUCUUCACCUGAACCACCAAAGAUUAUAGUUAAAAUCAUAAUUCAUGUUUAUAAUAAUGUAAAUCAAUAGUUUCUCCUUGCCACAAAGGGUUAAUAGAACUUUCACUCAAUGUUCUUGUCAUAAAGGCUAAAGACACUCAAUAAUCAUAUCGUCUUUACACCUUGCACUAAAGACAUUCAAUUGUAACAAUAAUUGUCAUGAUCAUACCAAUCAAUUAUCUAUCUUUGCACUACGUGCCAAAGAUAUUCAACUGUAAUAUCAGUGGUCAUGAUCAUACCAAUCAAUUGUCUAUCUUUGCACUACGGGCCAAAGAUGUUCAGCUGUAAAACUAAUAAUCAACAGUCCAUCUUUUCACUAUGAACCAAAGAUAUAUAACUGUAAAAUCAAUAAUCAACAGUCCAUCAUUGCACUACGGGCCAAAGAUAUACAACUGUAAAAUCAAUAAUCAAUAGUUUAUCUUUGCACUACGGGCCAAAGACAUAACCUUGUAAAUCCAAUAAUCAGCUGUUCAUCUUUGCACUACAGGCUAAAGACAUACAACUGCAACACCAAUGAUCAUGAUUAUACCAAUACACAAUUCCGUUCAUGGUUAUACCAAUACACAAUUCAUGUUCAUAAUCAUACCAAUCAAUAGUUCAUCUUUGUACUAUGGGCCAACGAUAACUUUCCAACAUAAAUUUAAGUCUGAGGAUGAUAACAAUGAUAUAAAGAAUGAAUCAAGUGAGAUCAAGAAUAAAUAUUAAAAAUUUAUAAUUCAAUUUAUCCAAAGUUCAGGAAUGUCCAAAUUGUUAACAUGAUAACUAAUUGUAGAGUAAAAUUCAAGAAUGAUAUUCAUGUAUCAAAAAUAAUUUGGACAGAAAAAAAUAAAUUUUGUCGUGAAUAGUACCCCGAAUAUUCAAUACACUCAUUAUUUUUUGAUGUACAUCAUAUAUUCUUGAUGUAGAAGAUCAACCACACUUUCACUCAAUAGAAAUAUUAAUCACCUGAGUCUCUCUGAAAUUUUCAACUACUCCAUGAGAGUACAUUGCAAGCAAAGGUUUUUAGCGAUUAAUUCCUAGUGAAUUAAGAGUUCAUUGCUUAAAAGGGUUGUUUCCUUGAGAGAUGAACACUGAAAACCUUUGCAAGCAAUGAACGCUCGGGGUUGGGAGUGUGGUCAACUUACAGAGUUAGAUCUAUGAGUCCCUAACAUCUCUAAUUGAAAUUUCUAAAUUAUCCGGUCCUUGUAUAUUUUUCGGUGGACAGUUUCUACCAAAACAAGACAAAGCUGAAAAAACCGAAAAACCCUACUGCCCUAAAAUUUUUGUGGGUUGUUUGGGCCACUUAAACAUUGAAAUAAAUUUAGGCCUUUUGGGAAAUGAAAAUAUAUGAUAUAAUGAAACUCUGGUCAGAAGAUGAACAAAUUCCUACAUCAGACGAAGGAGUUAUGACCAAUUCAAUAUUAGGAUUUUUCAGAUAAAAACUGUCAUAACUUGAGUUCUACAACUCUGAUGACCACAAAAUUAAAAAUGGAAAUUCAUGUUAAUAUGUAUAAAAUUCUUCCAAGACUUGGGAAUUUUUGGAGUUGAGCAUGAUAUAGUUCAUUUUACUAAGUUACGUACUAAAAUGGCUCUUUGAAAAAUAAGAAAAUUGAAAAAUUGUAAUACAAUUAUUUUUUUGUGGAAAAUAUAUAGGUAUGUGUGUCCAGGCAGAGAAAAAAAAUAAUAUAAUGGUUAAGGAGGCCUAAUGAAGAAAAUAAAGUUACGAGAAGGUAAAAUAAUUACUUACCGACAAGUCUGGAAUUAUUAAAAUAAUUUAUAUCGGCUAGAAUAUGUUGACAUUUGACGUAUGAGUUUAUGUAAAGGUUAAUCACAUAUUUUUAUGAGAAUCUUAUAAUUAUCACGUUUAUGUUUGUUUAAGUCGAAAGAUUAAUUAUCAGAAUAGGUUACGAUAAUUACCGGCGAUAUAUAAUUAUUAUAAAGUGAUGAUUAGUUUAAUCAUAUAAAUUGUCAUGAAUAAUGUAGCUUAUCAUUUGAAGGAAGUUAUCAUUGCGUUUCCACGGGGUAGAACCUCCUCAGGGGGGGGGGGAGACCCGGGGAAAUCCCCUGAGGGGCAUCCGGAGCGCCGGAGGAAAGAAGCGCAAGGGCGUGAAGCUUUCCGUGGACAGGACAGGGUCCGUCAACUAGCUUAGCUACCGAUUGGGGGAUGCUUUCACCUUGAAGGUAUUAACGGGCUUGAGCCAGGCCACGCAAGCAAAGGAAAGAUUAAUUAUAGNNNNNNNNNNNNNNNNNNNNNNNNNNNNNNNNNNNNNNNNNNNNNNNNNNNNNNNNNNNNNNNNNNNNNNNNNNNNNNNNNNNNNNNNNNNNNNNNNNNNUCUGCUCUUUCCGGUAAGUGAGUAGGGCCAGUCCCACACGAUUAGCAUAGAUAAGACAAGUCAGGUAGGAUUGGUCGGAGAAGGAUUGGACAUUUCCAUUGAUCAGCUCAUCCAAUCCAGUCUAUGAUCAGGCAAGGGGGCCUAAAAGUAGACGUAACUAUAGGCUUAAGCUCGCUUAAAUGCAAUUUAUCCUUAGGCCGAAUACCUAGUUGAGAGGGGUCCCUAAUGUGAGACCCUUCGUCCAUUCAUUCAGGAUCAAAAGCGGGCCUAAUUGAAUCAUCUCAUCGAGGAUUGCAUGUGAAAAGAUCGGAUCUUCGAAAUCCCCAAUCGUUCGUUACUGAACCUAAAAACUCGCCGCUUCUCAUGUAAAGUAGUGUUCUCGCUAGCUGGAACGGAACUCUCAAAUGGAGGAACAAGCGUAGGCCUUCUUUGAGUAUAGCUUCAAGUAGCUCUAAGAAGUUUACGUCUCGGUUCGGCACUCGGCUUUCUGAAGUUCUUCCAUUCCAGGGCGUGAAGCUUUCCGUGGACAGGACAGGGUCCGUCAACUAGCUUAGCUACCGAUUGGGGGAUGCUUUCACCUUGAAGGUAUUAACGGGCUUGAGCCAGGCCACGCAAGAAAAGGAAAGAUUAAUUCUAGGCCAGUGAAAUGAAUUAGAUGGAAAAACACCGAUACAGAUAAGUUUUUCAGAACUUUUUUUUAUGUGUAAACUUAUUAAUUGUUAUGGGGAAGUACUUUAUGUAUUAUAUGUAAUUCUUAUGAAUUGUUUAAGAGGUGCACUAUGUGUUUUAGUGUGAUACGAAUUUAUUGAAAUUAAUUGAUGAUUGAAGUUAGUUUAGUUAUGAAAACUUACUAUAUUGUGAUAUGAGGAAUAUGAUAUGUGAUGCCCCCAAAUUCGGGUACUUGAAACCCUUAUUUAGUGCUUCAUGAUAUCAAGUAUUCAACAUAAUAUAAUAUCAAACAUAAUAAAUUUAUUACAUCAGAGUACUUCUAAUCCCAGGUACGUAGACCUAUAAGUGCUUAUUACAUGAUAGUUAAAUAUUUACAACAUAUAUAAACUAUCUACUACAUAAUAUUCCAGUUAUGACAUAACUUUUCCCUUUCCCCUGUCCUUACUAGACCCCUCUGCCUGAGCCUUAUUAGCUGAAAACAUUUAUAAAAAAAAGUAAGAAUGAGCAUUCAAUUGCUCAAUAAGUAAUAACAUUCUUUAAUAGCUCAACAAUAAAUAAAUGUUUUCUUUGAAGCAUGCUUUGACAGUGAAACAAAUAUGUAAACCAAAUAAAUCUUAAAUUAUCCAUACUCUUGGAAUCAUCAUAUCAAUUUUGAAUAGCUGAGAGGUCAUAAGACCAUGAACAUGAAUUUUUUUUCUUGAAAAGGUUCUAUCAGAAAUUUAUAUAUGAACCGUCUUAUCUUAUGGGCAUGGUGGGUGAUCAGCCCUUUAUGCCCUGUAUUGAUCAAUAUUCUUAUCCAAAAUAAUUUUUAUGUUCAACGUCACCACUCCUAGAGUGAAAUAAAAAUAUCCCACAAUAUAGUUGGAUAGCUUAAAUCAUGGCACAAUAAUAUUUUAAGAAUUAUUAUAAAGAAAUUGAAAUAUUUUACAUCUGUGUUUGGCCAGAACAAAUGGCUCAGACUUCCUUGUAAUCUGUUCAUGCAUAUUGAAUUUCAUUUGAUAUACAUGAAAAUACAUAACCCAAUCUUUUGAAGCUGAUUGGAAUAAAAAGGUUAUUUAACCUUGUAUUAUUCAUAAAGAAUGAGAGACAGUUCAAAAUUUAGAGAACAUAUCCAUAUAUGAAUAAUCCCAGAAUACUUGUGUUAGUUCCCAGUAGGCGCGAUAAAUAUCUAGAAGGGGGGGUUGAAUAGAUAAUUAAAUCUUUUUCUUUUAAUCUUUUUAAGUUGAUGGUAUUCAAUGCACAGCGGAAUGAGUAUAUGUGAAAAACCUUCUGUUAUAUAUCUUAAGUUAAUGAGAUUGAGGCAGUUAUGACAGUUAUAGCAGAUAUUGCAGUUAUAGCAGUUAGUGAACACAAUAGUUGUAAGUGGUUCAGAGCACUAAAAGCUCAUAGUCCACUCUUUUACUCCUUGAGUAGGAAAUCCACUAAGGAUGUCUGUUACACUUCUUGAAUCUCACAGAUUCUUUCUAGACCAGCAGUCUAGGUACUUCUUAGUUCACUCUUGAACUCUUCAAGUCCAGCAGACUUGGUCUCUCAUAGUUCACUUAGAACUCUUCAAGUCCUUCAGACCUGGAACUCUUACUUCAGUUGAUUGAAUGUUGUUUAGAUCGUGAUUGAUGCUAUUCAGUUUCUAGUAAGCACUUGUUUGAAAGAACUGAAUAGCUGAGCAAGCUUCCUUUUUCUCAGAUCGUAGAGUUGAGCGUUGAGUGUUCUUAUGCAUUUUUUUUGUUUAAUACUUGCUUCUUCUUUCUUAUCUGUCUUUGAUCUGUAUAUAUGUGAUCUUGAAAUCUAUCCGUUGAAGUCAUCUGAUGAGCCAUUAAAUGCAUUUGACAUUUCUGAGCUUUGAUGGAGACUUUUUUGCACAUCUUCUGAAUUACACUCUAGCCCACUGACACAGUAGACUGCUUUUUCCCCUAACACCUUAAAAGGUGUUUUCCUCUGCCCAAUGGUCCUUUUCUUAGCUUAUUGAGUACGUUUCUUUUGAUCAAUACUAAGGAUAUCUUUUGUACGUUGGGACUGGUGAGAGCUUCAACGUUCAAAACCCAUUCCAUAUUUGUUGGAGUCCAUCUUCAGAUGAACGAUAGGGCUUGAUGUUUCUGACACAAAACAGAUGACACUCUACUAUCAAUAUCAUAGUGUCUUCUCAUAUUGGUGCCUGUUCGUAAGAGAUCACUACGAUUUCUCACAAGGAUUUUCACACUAUGUUCUUCACUUACUCGUCUUGCAAACUCUACAUUUUCGAGAGCACACUACGAUAUUUUAACACUACGAUCUUCACUUGCUCGUCUUGCAGAUUCUGCAUUUUCGAGAGCACACUACGAUCUCUAGUUUCGGCAAAAGUCUGGACCACACUUCGAUUCGUGGAGAGGCCCUUCAAGGCAGAUACACUACGAUCAUCUCAGCACUACGAUCCUGCCUUAGCUUCUGCAUUCUAUUGAUCAACCGGAUAGACUGCGAGUCUAUCUAUUUCUUUCUAGCCAUAGAUCAACCUAACAGAUUUGAUCUCUUUAUCUAUACAAGUGAACAUUAAAGACUAAGAUCAACCUAACACUUUUGAUCUAUCACUAAGUCCUUGUACAUAUAUUCUUUGAAGGACUUUACAUAAUCAUGAGUAGUUUCAUAAAACAUCAAAUCACAAUAUGCAUUCUUCCAACAAUCUCCCCCUAUUUGAUGUUGACAUAACCAAGGAGAUUUGUUGUCAUGAUUAUAAAGUUUUAUAUGCAGUUGCAGAAAAAUAAACAUGACUUAGCAUUUCAGUGAGCAGCUGAAAUUUUUAAAGAAUAAGCAUGAAUUUAUUGAUGUAUGGAGACAAAUUUUACAUUUAAGAAUGACUACAUCAAUACAAUUUGAAAUUCAACUUAUCUCUAUUUCUUUGGCCUUUUGCUUCUUGGAGGAUUUGCAUAUUCCUCAGCUCUCCUCUUUCUGCUUGCUUCAUCUCUUCUGGCCAUAUCUUCCAGCUCACUUGGGCUUAGCCUUGGAUUGUGAUCAUGUCUAUUCAUGAAUGCAGGAUCUCUAAUUGGCAUUCUUAGACCUGUUGUUGUUACCGUAUGAGAGCUGGUGGCUGGCCCUAGACUCCUUAAGGGUUGAGCCAUUAAUAUUUCCUGCUGAUCAGAUCAUUGAGUCUGAUGGCUGGAUUGUGGAGUCUGCUGGUGGAUUUUCCUUACAGAAGGAUUCCUUGAGGAUUGAGGUUGGAGACCUCUACCUUUUCCUUUGCCUCCUGAUCUCCUCCUUUACCUUUAUUCUCCCCCUUUAUGUCAACAUCAAGGGUUCGAAUGUCAUCUGAAAGACGAUUAAGGCCUUGAACAAGCUCGUUGAGCUGACUCUUGGUCUGAGCAAUGUCUUCUCUAUUUUCUUUGAUUAGAGCUUCAGACCUAGCUUCCCUUUGCUGAAGGAUGGAGAGAAUGUUGUCUGUUUGCUCGCCAUUGCUGACAUAGAAUUGUUGAAAUUCUUUGACAGCAGUCUGAAGAUUUUGGAUGCUUUGUAUCAUUAGUUGGUUCUGAGAUUCUUGAGUUUUCUAUAGAAUCAAGACAACAUCCCGAUGUCUUUUAGCUGUGAGGAAGUGAAUAUCAUCCCUGUCCUUUAUGCUUUGUAGCAUUUCUUUGAUAAUCUCUUUGAGUGUUUUAGACAGUUCGGAGCUCAGGGAGCUUGGAAGAUUGUUUGCAGCAUUGAUCAUUGAUGUCAAUCUUAGCUGUAUCAAUGCAGUAUGAUCUUCAAGGCUCUCAUCUAGUUUUUUGAUCACUUUCUCAGACAUGGCUGACAAAUCAGCCUUUGUGGAUAGUUCUGAUAGGAAUUCAUCUAGAUUUGGAAUCUGUGAGGGAGGUGGCGUGCUCUUGAAUUUAUAUUGCAGUGAGUAGAGAGAAAGUUCAAGAUUGAAGCAUUCAUUUCUAGAUGAGGAGGGAAUAUCUGAAGGAGGGGCCUGUGUUUGGAUGUUGGAGCUUAGUGACUCUACGAUUUGUGGUGGAUACUCUACCAGGGGUCUAGAGUGAGGGAUCGUAGAGGUAGUAGGCUGAGUGAGCAUUAGGGAGUUAAUCUUAUUUGGUUCCUCAGUUACAGAAUUUUGAGAUUCUGUAACUAGAAUUGAUUCAGUUGAUGAAGAAUUACUUCCAACCAUUGCGGGAAUUCAUAGAAUUGAUUAAAUGAGGGUGGUGGCAAGUGAUUAAUUCUGACAGGAGUGGGGAUAUAUAAUACCUCAAGUGUGUUCUCUGAGGAAGGGCUGUUGGAGAGAAGCUUCUUGGCAAAAUUGAAUUUCCCUGGGAAUCCAUUUGCAAGUACUGAGAUAGCUGGAUACUCUUUGAAACUCCAGAACAUGUGAUCCCAAGAGUUCAGAAUUUGAGCUCGGUGGAAAGGCAUCAUAGGAAGAUAUGCAAAUAGUUGCUCAUAGGUGGAUCUUCUGUGCCCAUGAAUGCCUACAGCUAUAAUCUCAAUCUCAUCAUCUUCUUCUCUGUUUUCACUAGAGGAUUCCAUUAUGUCGAUUGCUUUAGGUUCUUCAUUAUCUCCUCCAGGAAUUUCUUUUUCAGCUAUUGAGGUGUCAUGAUCCUCCCCCUCAGCUUGAUCAUUCUUUUGAAAUGUCAAUAGCUCCCCCUCAACUGGAGCAUCCUCUGGUGGAAGAUCUUUAGGCAUCUCCCCCUCAGUAUGAGCACCUUCUAUCAUUAGAUCUUUAGGUGUCUCUCCCUCAGCAGGAGCCAUGACUACUUGACAUUCACUUGCUGGUUCCUUUUUAGCACUCAGUUCUUUUGCUUCCCUUCUUAGCACUUCUUCAUUGGCAAGAAUAUACUUCUUAACUAGUUUCCUUCUUGGCCUUUUAGGCUGUGCUACAGCCUCAGGACUCUCUUUAGUUGUGUCCUUCAGAUCAGCUAAGAUAUUUGAUGCAGUUGCUUCCUUGUUUGGUCUAGGCUCUACGAUCGGAGGAGACUUGACGAUCGAAGAGACUUGACGAUCGAAGAGGCUGAUGGCUUUUUACUUUUGUGGCUGGUCUUACUCAUCUUCAGCAACUGAGAUAUAGUUGCUCUAUCUUCUUCUGCCUCUGCUUGCUGUUCCUUUCUCCUUAGGAUCCUUAGAGUCUCAAUUUCUGAGGACUCUACAGGCUUGUUGGUGGUGGAUCCUUGAGGUUCUUCUGUAGUUCUGGCUUUCCUUUUCCCUUUGCUCUUUCUGAUUAAAGCAAUGGGUUCUCCCUGGUUAGUUUCUUCUUCUUCUUCCUCAGUUUCCUUGACAACAGACAUAUUCUCUGGCACUCCUGUUCCUUUUAUCUCACCAGUUCGACCACUGGAUUCAGACAUCAACUUCACAUUUUCAGCUGGAUUUCUCUUCCAGUUUUCAAACAACUGUUGGGUCAUUCGUCGAUUUGGGUUUAUGGCUUCUCCUUCAUCAUCCUCAAUCAGGUCACCAAGAGUAGCCUAUAGGAUAAUGAUGAUAAAUCGUCCGUAGAGCAUCUUCUGAGAGCUCUUUGUCUUCUUGGAGCUAACCAACCAUUUUCUAAUCCAUUCAAGUAAUAAAGCCCCAUAGUUUAGUUAAAUUUUAUAGCAUAUGGAAGUCAUGAGUUUGAGUUGUAUUUCAUUCACAGAGUCAUGACCUGAGCUUUUACAACAUAUGCAUUUUCCAACAAUGUUAGCCAAAAACUCAUACCUCUAUGGAAACUCCUUCUUUUUGUAUCCUUUGACAGAGGGUGAUUUCUUGUGAUGCAUUUUCUUGAGACCUUUAUGGAAGUCUAUUCCAUCUAAGGAUGGAUACCCUUCAGAUUUGAGCCCUAGGGCUAGAUUGAUGUCUUCAGCUCUUAAUUUGAUUUGGACGUUCCUUACUUUCAUGGUGAUGGUGUUGUUUUCAAACACUCCGUUAUUUUAGAAUUCUUUUACCAGCUUUGGGUAGAUCAAUGUGUCAGUACCCAAGGCUUCUUCGAGACCUGCCUUCUUUAGUAGCGACAAUGUCUUGUGAAAUUGGGGUUCAACCAUUUUAAACUCGUCGAAACACAGUCUGUAGCAGGAGACAACACUAGAAGCUGCCAUUGAUUUCUUUGUAGGAAGUGAGGCUGACAGAGCUUGCUACUGAUUUAGGGUUUCUGCUUGAGAGAGGAAGAGAGAGAUGGUCUUUUGAACUUCAUAUUUCAAAAAGGCGAUUUUAAUUUGUACCUGAAACUUCCCUCUCUUUAUUUUGCUUAGUGGGACAGGUGUCAAACUUUGCUUGGCUGUACGAAUUCUUGACAGAGAAGGAUUGUACUGAAUUGCCCUUAACUUCUUCUGGGAUGAUGUAUUCAUUAGUGGGACUACGAUCGUUGAGAUGGUCCUUGGAGUCGUCGAGUCUGUUCUACCAUCGUUGAGUCUGUGUAGCAGUCGUCGUGUCUGAGCUGUAAACGUAGAGUCUGAACUACGAUCAUUGAGUCUGACUGGCAAUCGCAGAGUUUGAAAAAGUCCUUGUGAUGAAUCUUUUUGACUUGGCAUUUUCCUUAAAUUAAGGUAGCUCAGGAAGGGCCAACCUCUUGAAAGAAACAAGGGUUAGGUUUGUUCCUGAGGAACUUAUCAGAGAGAAUGCUUUGAUUUAAUCUUGAUCAUCAUAGGGAGCUCCUUUUGUUUUGUUGAUGUAGUUCUAUUAUCGUUGAGUCUGCACUAUGAUCGUUGAUUCUGUUCAGCAUUCGUUGAGUUUUAUAUACUUUGGCUCUACGAUCGUGGACUUCCUUUGAUCAUGUCUUUUAUUUCAAAUACAACCUUUAAAUCUAUAUGGUUAGCAUAAAAUAAAGCAUAAUAUUUCAUGUUUGCAAGUUAAGCAUGCCUAGCUCACUUAUCAGUUUGUUGAAUCUGGAUUCAUCUAAAGGUUUUGUAAAAACAUCAGCAAGUUGAUUUUCAGUAGGGAUAUAUUGUAAAGAUAUUGUUCCAUUUUGUACAUGAUCCCUAAUGAAGUGAUACCUUAUUUCUAUAUGCUUAGUCCUAGAAUGCAUGACAGGAUUAUGAGUUAUAACAAUUGCACUUGUGUUAUCAUAAUGAAUAGGUAUGGAUUUGAAUUCAAACCCAUAAUCUGCUAGCUGAUUUUUUAUCCAUAGAAUCUGCGCACAGCAACUACCAGUAGCAAUGUAUUCAGCUUCUGCAGUUGAGGUAGAUACUGAGUUUUGCUUCUUGCUAAACCAGGACACAAGUCUGUUACCUAGUAAUUGACAAGUGCCACUGGUACUUUUUCUAUCUAUUUUGUAGCCUGCAAAAUCAGCAUCUGUAUAACCUGUUAGCUCAAAUGAGGAUUCCUUGGGAUACCAAAGCCCCAAGUGGGGUGUACCUUUGAGGUACCUGAAAAUCCUCUUUACAGUAGUUAAAUGAGAUUCUUUAGGACAUGCCUAAAAUCUAGCACAAAUGCAUGUUGCAAAUAUUAUAUCUGGUCUACUGGCAGUAAGAUAUAAAAGAGAACCUAUCAUACCUCUGUAUUGAGUUAUAUCAAUACUUUUACCUUUUUCAUCUUUGUUAAGCUUGGUUGCAGGAGCAAUUGGGGUUUUCAUGGGAGAGGCUGAUUCCAUACCGUACUUCUUGAGUAAGUCUUUAAUGUACUUGGCUUGGUUUAUGAAAAUUCCUUCAUCAGUCUGCUUUACUUGCAGUCCAAGAAAGAAGUUUAGCUUACCCAUCAUGCUCAUUUCGAAUUUGCUCUGCAUAAGCUUGGAGAAUCUCUUGCAUAACUUUUCAUUAGUAGAACCAAAGAUAAUAUCAUCAACAUAAAUUUGAACUAAUAGGACCUUAUCUUUAUGCUUUCUAAGAAAUAGUGUGGUAUCUAAUUUACCUCUAGUAAAUCCAUUUUCAAUAAGAAAGUUAGUCAGUGUUUCAUACCAUGCUCUAGGUGCUUGUUUGAGACCAUAUAAGGCUUUGUCUAAUCUAAAGACAUAAUUAGAAAGAAAUGGAUUGAUGAAACCUAGAGGCUUCUCUACAUUGACUUCUUCUUGAAGUUCACCAUUCAAGAAUGCACUUUUGACAUCCAUCUGAAAGACUUUGAACUUCAUGUGAGCAGCAAAGGCAAGGAAUAUUCUGAUGGCUUCUAGUCUGGCAAUAGGUGCAAAUGUCUCAUCAUAGUCAAUACCUUCUUUCUGAGAGUAGCCCUUGGCUACUAGUCUAGCCUUAUUCCUUGUUAUCACCCCAUCUUCAUCCAUCUUGUUUCUGAAGACCCACUUGGUUCCAAUUACAUGAUGGUUCUUUGGUCUUGGGACCAAUUUCCAAACUUUGCUUCUCUCGAACUGAUUAAGUUCUUCCUACAUGGCCUCUAUCCAGCUGGAAUCUUCCAUAGCAUCCUCUAUCUUCUUUGGUUCUAUUUGAGAUAGGAAGCUUAGAUAGAAGCAUUCAUUUUGAGUAGCAACUCUUGUCUUGAUUCUUGCGUUCGGAUCUCUAAUGAUUAGAUCUUGAGUGUGAUCUCUUGCCCAUCUGCUUCCUGUUGGAACAUCCAUUUUUAUGCCUUCUUGUCUCAGAUCUUCAAGAUUUAUUUCUUCUUCUUGAUGUGGAGGUUCAUUGUCUGGCAUAGGCCUCUCUACGAUCUCAUUCUCUUGCUUAACGAUUUCAUUAUUGGGCACUACGAUCAUAGUAUUGGGCUCGACGACCUCGUUCGCAUUGUCUUGGAGCACUAUUUUGUCUAAGUCUGUUUCAUCAAAGAUGAUGUGAAUUGAGACUUCUACACUCAGUGUCUUCUUGUUGAACACUCUGUAGGCAUUGCUGUCUGUGGCAUAUCCAAGAAAGAUUCCUUCGUCUGAUUUCGGUUGAAACUUUGUCAAGUACUUCUUUCCAUUGUUGAGUAUAUAGCAUGCACAGCCGAACACAUGAAAGUAGCUGACAUUUGGCUUUCUUCCUUUCCAAAGUUUAUAAGGAGUCUUCUUCAUCGUAGAGAGUAUGAGUGAUCUGUUCUGAGUAUAACAUGUAGUGUUGACCGCUUCUGCCCAGAAGUACUCCGGUAGAUGAGCUGCAGCUAGUAGAGUCCUUCCAGCCUCUAUUAAUGUCCUGUUCUUUCUCUCAGCAACUCGAUUUUGUUGGGGAGUUCAUGGAACUGAGAAGUUGUGACUAAUCCCAUUGUUUGUGCAGAACUGAUCCAUUUUUGAGAAAUCGAAUUCUCUGCCAUGAUCACUUCUUAUGUUCUUGAUUUUCUCUCCUUUCUCAUUCAUCACCAGCUUGAACAUCUUGAUUAGUUGGGGGCUUGUUUCAUUUUUUGAGGUUAGAAAAAAUACCCAUGUAAAUGUGGUGUAGUCGUCGACUACGACCAGUGAGUAUCUCUUUCCCCCAUGGCUCAUCAUUGGAAUUGAUCCAAAAAGAUCCAUAUGUAGUAAUUACAGAGGCUUGUCAAUUGAGUUGAUGGUUUUUCUCUUAAAUAAGCUUCUGGUCUGUUUCCUAAGUUGACAGGCAUUGCAGGGCCUUUCUUUAACGAAGUUGAAUUUGGGUAGGCCUGCAACUAGAUCUUUUGAAGCUAAUUUGGACAUGCUUUUGAAGUUGAGAUGAGAUAAUCUUCAAUGCCAUAGCCAGCUCAUUUCUUCAGAUGCUUUAGUCAUAAAGCAUAUUGUCUCGUCUGAGCUUAGUUGUCCAAGAUUUACUGUGUAGACAUUUCCUUCUCUUGUUCCGGUUAGCUUUACUGCAGAUGUCUUCAGGUCUCGGACUUGACAUUGAUUGUUGAUGAAUGUUACUUGAUGACCCUUGUCAUAGAGUUGGCUAAUGCUUGGAAGGUUGUGCUGUAGUCCUUCCACAUAGGCCAAUUUACUGAAUGAUACUGCACCAUUUUCGGCUGAGCCAUAGCCUCUUGUCUUGCCAGUGCCAUUAUCUCCAAAUAUGACUGAGGGACCUUCCUUCUCUAUGAAGUUAGACAGAAGGGCUUUGUUCCCAGUCAUGUGCCUUGAACAUCCACUAUCCAGAUACCAGGUUGUGUUUGUGGAGCUCCUUUCCUGAGGUAACAUUAAGCCUUCAUUUUGGUACCCAUAUUUGCAUGGGUCCUACUAUGUUAGUACCCUUGGGGACCCAAAUCUGCUUUAUUUUGGGUCUCACGUGCAUGGAAUUAUAAUGAUAAUUCGCAGCCUUAUGACCAACUUUGUGGCAUUCAAAGCAUUUGAUAUGAUGCAUGUAAGUGUGUUUGUGAAAGUUCUUCCUCCAUUUGGACUUUUGUGGGUUAUUGGUCAUCCUUCUACUAGGUUGAUAUCCCCUUUUCCAUGUGUUCUCUUGUUUCAUUAAUUGAGGAGAGUAUAUCUCACUUCUACUGUGUCUUCCUGGUUGGUUCGUAGAGUUGAUUUUAUUGGACUCUACGAUCCUUCGAGGUUGAUAAGUAGUAGCUAGAUUACUUCUCUUUUCUGAAACCUAGACCAGCAUGAGAUCCCUUACUCUUGGGAAUAUGAAUUGAAUUAUCCAGACAGGGUUUGACAAGCUCAUCAUUCUGUGAGGAUUUCACAAAUAUAAUGCCUUUACUAAAACCUGAGGCAUUACUAGUGUUAACAUCCUUUGUUUUUUCCACACAUGACUCUGAGAUAGAUCCCCCAAAGCCUAGCCAUGUUCUAUCAGAGACAUUUCUCUGAUUAGAGAUUAAAGAAUCCAUGAUUGAAGAAGAUUUAUUCUAUGUGGAGAUGGUCUUUUUUAGAUCCUCAAUUUUUGAGGUUAGACUAGACUCUUGUUUUGCACUAAGCUCAUUUGUUUAUCUUAAGAGCUUAUUCUCAGCUUCAAGCUCAGAGAAAGAAUUAGCACUGAGAAGGGUUGUUUCCAGUUCUUCUUGAACCUUUUCUUUCUCCUUUUUAAGAAGUGAAUAAUCCUUAGACAGAACUCUAAACCACUUCAUGUAUUGGUGUAGAUCAGAUGUUAUGCCAUGCAAUGUAGUUCUAAGAUCAUCAAUAUCUACAUCAGGAGAGUUAAAGUCAAAUACCUCAUCGAUACUUACUUCGUGUAUGUUAGAGUUCUGUUUGUCCCUUGCAUUUUUGACCAUCAAGCAGAGAUUUGCUAUUUGAGGGUCUUCAUCAUCCCCAGAUUCAGGAGUUGAGUCAUUGUCUAAGUCACUCCACGAUCCUCCAGCUACAAGACCUUUUUCUUUCUUCUGUGGCCCUUUGUUGCCUCUGUAUUCUUUCUUUGAAUGAGAUUUCUUCUUGAGUUCUUCUCUAAGAGGUUUGUUACAAUUUGCAAUAAAGUGGCCUGAUUUCUUGUAAUUGUAGCAUAGGUCAUUCAUUUGCUCCUGGCUGCUGUAGUUGCUGACUUUCUUUGGCUUGUUGGUUUUGCCUCGUCGCAUGAACCUUCUUAGCCUUUUCACUAGCAUUACAAGGUCCUCAUCAUCAUCUUCAUCAUAAUCAGAAUCAACUUCAGUGCUGACUUUGGAGGCGUUAUCUGUUGCUUUAAGGGCUACACCUUUAUCCUUCUGCCUACCUUCAGAUAAGGUUUCUGCUCGUUGAGUCAGCUCCAGUUCAUAUGUGAGAAGGUUGCCAUACAACUGUUGAACAGUCAUUUCAUGUAGAUUUUUGGAUUCUCUAAUGGCAGUGGUUUUGGCAUCCCACUUGCUUGGUAAGGCUCUCAUGAACUUUAUGAUUAGAUCUUUGUUAGGAUAGAUCUUCCCAUAGGCUCGUAGAGAGUUGAGCAGUACAUUAAAUCUUUCGUAAGUGGCAGUAACGUUCUCUCCUUGAACGUGAGCGAACAUCUCAUAUUGCUGAGUCAAGAGAGAUUGUUUGUUUUCUCUGACUUCUUCUGUUCCUUCAUGCAUGAUGAGCAGUGUUUCCCAAACCUCCUUCACUAUUUUGCUGCUGACCACAUUUUUGAACAGAUCAUCUUUUAAAGAUUGGAACAAGAUGUUUUUGGCCUUUUUCUCGAGCUGGAUAGCUCUCUUCUCGUUCUCUGUCCAUUCUUCCUUGACCUUGAUCUGUACUCUGUUUGGGUCAUCUGUAGUUGGUGCAAGCUUUGUAGGAACAUAGGGUCCAUUCUGAACAGUUUCAAAUAGAUCUUCAUCUAUUUCAUCUAUGUAAGCUUGUAUCCUAACCUUCCAGUUAGCAAAUUUUUCUUUGUUGCACAUUGGUGGCUUGCUGCCUCCUCCAGUCUUUGAUUCGCUUGGUAAGUGUGCCAUUGGAUCUACUUAAGCUUUGUAGGUUGUAUUAUAGAACCUUCUUUGAUACCAAUUGUUAGUUCCCAGUAGGCACGAUAGAUAUCUAGAAGGGGGGUUGAAUAGAUAAUUAAAACUUUUCUUUUAAUCUUUUUAAGUUGAUGGCAAUCAAUGCACAGUGGAAUGAGUAUAUGUGAAAAACCUUCUGUUAUAUAUCUUGAGUUAAUGAGAUUAAGACAGUUAUGACAGUUAUAGCAAAUAUUGCAGUUAUAGCAGUUAAUGAACACAAUAGUUUUAAGUGGUUCAGAGCACUAAAAGCUCCUAGUCCACUCUUCUACCCCGUGAGUAGGAAAUCCACUAAGUAUGUCUGUUACACUUCUUGAAUCUCACAGAUUCCUUCUAGACCAGCAGUCUAGAUACUUCUUAGUUCACUCUUGAACUCUUCAAGUCCAGUAGACUUGGUUUCUCACAGUUCACUUAGAACUCUUCAAGUCCUUCAGACCUGGAACUCUUACUUCAGUUGAUUGAAUGUUGUUUAGAUCGUGAUUGAUGCUAUUCAGUUUCUAGUAAGCACUUGUUCGAAAGAACUGAAUAGCUGAGCAAGCUUUUCCUUUUUCUCAGAUCGUAGAGUUGAGUGUUGAGUGUUCUUAUGCGUUUUUUUCGUUCAAUACUUGCUUCUUCUUUCUCAUCUGUCUUUGAUCUGUAUAUAUAUGAUCUUGAAAUCUAUCUGUUGAAGUCAUCUGAUGAGCCAUUAAAUGUGUUUGACAUUUUUGAACUUUGAUGGAAACUUUUCUGCACAUCUUCUGAAUUACACUCUGGCCCACUGACACAGCAGACUGCUUUCUCACCUAACACCUCAAAAGGUGUUUUCCUCUGCCCAAUGGUCCUUUUCUUAGCUUCUUGAGUACAUUUCUUUUGAUCAAUACUAAGGAUAUCUUUUGUACGUUGGGACUGGUGAGAGCUUCAAUGUUCAAAACCCAUUCCAUAUUUGUUGGAGUCCAUCUUCAGAUGAACGAUAGGGCUUGAUGUUUCUGACACAAAGCAGAUGACACUCUACUAUCAAUAUCAUAAUGUCUUGUCAUAUUGGUGCCUGUUCGUAAGAGAUCACUACGAUUUCUCACAAGGAUUUGCACACUACGUUCUUCACUUGCUCGUCUUGUAAACUCUACAUUUCCGAGAGCACACUAAAAUAUUUUAACACUACGAUCUUCACUUGCUCGUCUUGCAGAUUCUGUGUUUCCGAGAGCACACUACGAUCUCUGAGUUAGUUUCGGCAAAAGUCUGGACCACACCUCAAUUCGU